AUCUACAGUUUGAGCUCUUCAAGGAACCCCACGCCAAGAGGUUCCAAUUUCAACAACUCCGAUUUUUACUCCAUGAUGGGUGUUCAAGGAUUUCCUGCAAGACACUCCAAUUUCGGUCCAGCUGAUUUAUACUCUGUUCAAUCCUCUAGAGGACCUACUCCAAGGCCAUCCAAUUUUGAAGAAAACAAUACAGUAAUGUCUCCACGAUUCGGAUUUUAUCCAGCACAGACUGUUCCUUCAUCCUACCCUGCUCCAAACCCUGAAUUCUCAUCCGUCACGAAGAACGCUAAAGCUACCCAACAACAACAGCAGCAGCCUAGGGAGAAGGAGAAUAAUAAAGAGAAUCAUGAUGCCAAGGAAUUGCACAUGUUUGUGUGGAGUUCAAGUGCUUCGCCGGUUUCAGAAGGCGGAGGUCUCCAUGUCUUUGGUGGUACAGAUUUCGGAGCGUCCGAACAAUCUGGACGGUCUGAGCAGGGUGCUAAAGAGAUAAGGAUGUUGGUCGCAGAUCACCCUCAAAACGGGGAAAACAAAGGUACAAUAAAUUUAUAAGUAAACUAGAUUAUUCUGCUCGGUUAGGAGUUACUGGAAUUUUUUAAUAAUAGAUCGUAGCUUGUGAAGGCAUGGCAGGCAGUGGUGACGUUCAUGGAGAGGACUUCAGCUUUGCUGGAAGAGAUGGGGAAGAAGAGAGAGAAAAGGAAGGACCCAAUGGUCUCAAUAAGUUGGGGUCUAGUUCAACGGCCGAGUUGCACCCUAAAGCCGCCGGAGGGCCGGAGUCUGGCGUAGGCAAACAAAUGCCGCCGGCAAGUGUAAUGACGCGCUUAAUCUUGAUCAUGGUCUGGCGCAAGCUUAUCCGAAACCCCAAUACAUAUUCCAGUCUCAUCGGGCUGGUUUGGUCCCUAAUUGCUUUCAGGUCAGCUCAUUAUUUGAUUUUAAGGUUCAAACAUUAUUCAACAAAUCCUUUUUUUUUUAACUUUUUAAUUGGGUAUUUUCAUAUGUAAUGAAUUUACUGGUUUUGGGGGACUUAAAUUAAUGCAGGUGGCAUGUGAGUAUGCCGAAAAUAAUAGAGAAGUCUAUCUCCAUCCUGUCAGAUGCUGGACUAGGAAUGGCCAUGUUUAGCUUAGGUGAGCAUUUCCGUUAUUUGCUUUAUCUUCAACUAAUAAUAUUUGGAAAAGAAAGAAAAAGGAAAGUUUAUCUGCCUUGACCUAAAUAAAAUUUCAUAGACCAACUCGGUAACAAUUACACACUACACCACUAUUUGGUGCACUCAACACUAUGUUUAACUAUUUAUGAUACUUUCGCCGAAUUCAGGCAAUCCCAUGGGAACAAAAAUCCAUGUAAUGGGAAACCAUGGACCAUUUAAAAAAAAAAAAGUUUGACAUUGAAAGAAAUCUUUGGACACUUAAAUGGGAUUUAACCUCCCGACAUGUGGGGUCUUGUUUGCGAUGUUAGUAAGCGGUCCAGGGUCGGUGGGCAUUGGUUGUGAUAGACGCCAAUUAGGCCACCAGUUAGUGAAGGUAGGUGAUUGAUAGAUUAGGGACACAUAGUUUCCUAUGGAAAGUCGUAACUUUUGGUGCUAUAUGGUGAAAAAGGUCUGUUUAUGGCACUGCAACCCAAGAUCAUCGCUUGUGGGAACUCUGUAGCUACAUUUGCCAUGGCCGUUAGGUUCUUAACUGGUCCGGCUGUCAUGGCUGCCGCUUCGAUUGCAGUAGGGUUGCGCGGCACACUCCUCCGUGUCGCCAUCGUUCAGGUAAAGAAAAAUCCUCACCCUCCUCGUAAGCUUUGACUUUUAAGGAUUGUUAGUCAGCGAAAUUUUGUUUCAAAUUCAACAGGCGGCUCUGCCACAAGGAAUUGUACCAUUUGUGUUCGCCAAGGAAUACAAUGUCCACCCUGCGAUUCUUAGCACUGCGUAAGUAAACAAACCUGGAUAUAUUCAAACAUAGUAUAUAUAGCUGUUAACUACUACAUAUAUAUAUAUAUAUAGCUGACGGUUUGAUUUGUAAAUAUUUUUCAGGGUUAUCUUUGGGAUGUUGAUAGCAUUACCAAUAACGCUGGUGUACUAUAUUCUUCUAGGAUUGUGAGGGUACUUUCAUAGUAAGCCAGAGAUAUGAACGGGAGUUUUCCAGGGGUUGAUAGAAUUGAUCAAAACCGGAUUAUGUUGUUAAUUAACACGAGGAUAUUCCGGGAAAGAAGAUUUUAGUACAAGAAAAAGAAAUUGUCACAAGGGUUCCAAAACCAUUGGAGCUAACCUAGCUAAAGGUAUUUGACUUAGUAAUGUGUCCUCCCUGAUUUAAGGGAUCAUGCCUCCAUGAGAAGCCAAGUUUAUCCAAUUUCCUAGAGUAAUUUUGAGGAGAAGAAAAGAAGGCCAAUCCUGCAUAAGGGAGACAAUGAAGAGGAAAAUGGGGGCAAACAAAGCUGGUUACUUCAUAUUAAUUAAUUCACUUUUAAUCUCCCUUAUGCUUUUAUUGUAAAGUUUGAUUUCAUUCUAAUGAAAGCUGCCAAGGGUUUUCCUUUUUUUUCUCCUUUCUUUUUCAAAUGCUACUGGUACUUUUACAAUUUUUUUAAUACAAGAAUGUAAUCUGAUUUGUUGGCUUUGAUUGGCAAUUAUUGGCGUAAAUCAUCCUGGGUUAUUUUUUCUGUCUUACUUAGGAGAUUUAUUUAUGAUUUUAAAUAAUAAUAAUAAGAAGAAAAAGGUGUUUUAUUGCUGAUUUGGUAAUUCAGGUUUAACUAGGUGGGCAGGAAACAUGUGGUAAUGUCCUCGUGUGCGUGGCCUGAUUCAACAGCAAACAAUGGGGCCAUAGGUUAUCGAGGGUCAUCAAGAAUUAAGCAAGCAAAAUACCCAACACAAAUUGACUCCACCCUUCCCCCAAUAAUUCACCCAAAAGUUAUUCAGGUGACAGUAUUUGGUAUAAAUGUGAAAUAGCCACCUCCUGUUUUCCGAUAAGAUUAUAAUAUACAUUCAUAUAUUUGACAUUGAUGAAUUAAAUUAUAGAGAAGUGGGGAUAGUAGGAGCAGCGAGCAAUUAAGACAUGGCUCCGACGGGAAUGAAUACAAGCCAACAAAGACUAAUCAAGACAUUUGAGAGGGAGAGCGUGAUGGUCGAUGUCUGCUGAACCACGGACAUGAGCCAGGUGAGAUGGGCCCAAGCCCAACCGAGGGACCAGGGACCAGGGACCAGGGACCAUUUGAGCGAUUAAUUAUACUUUUGAUUUUGAAAAAGACAUUGCCCAUGGGGGACCAUGGGGGAAUAAAUAAAUAAAAGGUUGUUUUUAUUUUGGGUUAAAUACCAAUUCCCCUUCAACUAUACCUCAUCAAACAAUGUGAUACUUACGAAAUUUUUAUUAUCAAUUUGAUACCUAUAGUAUUUCACUGUAAAAUAAAUCACCCCAUUCCGUUAUAGAAUGAUGAUGUAGCAUAGUAACCACUCACACAACAUGACACUUAAUAUUUUAUAAAAAUGAAAUAAAUAUAAAAUUUCUAUUAAAAUUUAUAUAAUAUCGCAAAUUUUUUUGUAAAUUUGAACUUUUUCUUUCUUUUCCCUCGUCGAAGAGAUCUUCUCAUUAUUCUCCAUCAUCACACAACAACACCACUAAAAUUCUUUGCAAAAAUCUUGCUUUUUGAAACACAUUUUUACAAAAAAAAAAAAAAAGAAGUAAAAAUCUUACCAAAGUUUCAUCGUUAAAGAGCACCACCAGAAUUCAAAAUUCUUACCUAGGUUCCAUCGUCAAAGAGAUUCUCUACCAUUUUUUUAAAUUCCUUACUUGGGUUAUGAUAAAAUUUCAUUUUUUUCUUUAAGUAGGUAUUGAAUUUCUAGAAUUUCUCUAGGUUUUGCUAUUGCUUUUGUUAGCUUUGAUGUGCCAAAUUUUUAAUAUGAAAUUUUAUAAAUUAUAUUUUCUACAUCAUUUAAUGAAAAUAUAGUUAAAAAUUUUAUCAAGCAUUUUCAAGGAGUUAUAAACUACUCAAAAUUUACUUCAAAUGCGUUUUAACUUACCAAUGUUUUUCUUUAAGUAUUUAAAAUUGAUUUUAUGCAAGUUUGGAACUAGGUUCUAUACAUAUCCAAAUGUUUCGAAAAACAGAAAUUCAAUGAGAAUUUUUGGGCAACCAAGCUUUUUAGAACCUAUAAGUAGAGGUAUCAAAUCCCAACCAAGAGGUAUCGAAACAUAUCUCUAGGUUUCGAUACAUAAGAGUCCAACAACCAUAAUUUUAAAUCAAGUAAUUGACACCCAAAAUUUAGGUAUCGAAACAUGCUAUUCUGUAACUGCAAUUAAUAUUCUAAAUGGCUCCAUAUUAUCCCAAACAACUAUAAACGAUUGCAAAUCAUUUCCUAGAUAUAAAUACCCAUCAAUAACAUUUCAAGAAAAAAAGAAACCAAUAUCCAAGCAUCAAAAUCAAGAGAAAAAUUUCUAGGUAAGACAUUGCCUUAGGUAAGACAUCAAAAUCAAAAUCAAGAUCAAAUCAUUUCCUGCUUACUUUAAACGUACACGAGAUACUGGCUUAGGUAAUACAUCUAAUGCAGUUAACUAGGUAUCUAACUUAAUAGACAGACAUGCAAACAUUGUUCAUACAUAACUGAUCUGUCGUGAUCCAUUGUAGCAAAUUAAACUAGUUUCAUACUUAAAGAGCUUGAAUACGAGCAACUCUGUUAUGUUUUAAGUACUUUUUCCAAUUUAGUUUUAAUUUAAUGAAAAGUGUAAUUUGAGUCAUUUUAUGACCUUAGGGGCCAAAUGUGGGCUAAAUGAGGGCUAACGUACCUAAUGAGUGUGUAGGACACCAUUCAAAGGCAUAAGAGCUCGACACUAGUCGCCAUGUUGCAACACGGGAGUCCAAUGUUGUAACGUAAGGAGUAGAAUACAAGAAUUCCAAGGCUACCUUUGGUGUUGCGACACACACCUGAAGCUGAACUUGAGCCAAACAAACUGCCUUCGAUGUUGUGACAUAGGCACUAAAUGUCACAACACCAGCCUUACAUGGAAAAGAAUUACGAGAUAAGGGCAUUUUGGUUCACAUAAUAUAUUUUUAUGUAAAAACGUCAGCGAACCUAGGGCUAAGAACAACAACCAACCCUAACUCUAUAAAUAGACUCUUUAGACACUUAUUUAGGGAGGAUUUUUGUAGUGUAUAAUUUUCCUUGUAAUUUAGUUUUCAAUUUUCAGUUUCUUUUAGGUUUUAGAUAUAUUUUUAGUUGUUUUGUUCGUGUCCAACAUAGAAUCUGAUUUGUGGAUUCGUCCAAACUCUCUUUGGAUUCUCUUAAACAUUAUUCUUGAUUUAUUCUUUAUAUUUAUUUUAUUUAUCAAGCUUACAGUGUUUAUGGAUUCCAUAAGGAACUAAUCCUCUUAUGGGGGAUUAGUAAAUGGAAAUGUGAUUAAUUAUUACUAUGUAGGGUUUUCUUAGCGGAUCAGCUAUUUGGGGAUAGGAAAAACUAAAACCCUAGGCCUGACAACCUCAGGAAGUCAUCUAGGUAGGAAUUAACCCUAAAUUUUUAUUGCCUAUUCGUGAACCCCUUACCUUAAACCGGUUUAGACUGUGAGGUCGAGAGAUAAGUAGUUCUUAUCGAGCAGUUAGUUUAGUGGAAGAUCGAGAGAUUUUGCUAGGAUAACGACUAGUUGAUUGAGUAGAAACCUGAAAUAGGAAUUAGUUAUGAUCAUUGAAGCGACCUAAUCUCCCAUGCUUAGAAUUGAUUGAGUUUAAAGAUUAAGAUUUCUUUUGUCACUAUUUCUACAUGUUAUUUCUUUCCUUAAAUUUAUAGAUAAUUUCUUUAUUUUAUUCUCAUCGUAAUAUAAUUUAUUUCAAGUACUAAUUAGAUCUAUUUUCAUUUAGGUUAAUAUUAAUUUAGUACUCGCCUUCCUUGGGUACAAUCCUUGGAGUACUCACCUAUUUCGUUGUAACUAUAUGAUAACCUGACCCAUAUACUUGCAGACAUCGCCUCAAUAUUAUAUCUUUAGUUGCAAUAAUCACACUUUAGACGUUAAUACGUAUAGAGGCGGUCAAUAAUAGAUAUAUACGCAGUUUCACACUUGACAAACUUACAUGCGAACAUAGUUCGCCAAAAACACAACUAAAUUAUUGAGAUGGCAAACAACAGAGGGAUGAUCCAAGGCGUAAUCCUGCAAAAGAUACAGUUGAACCAAGGUGAUAUUUUUCCUAAUCCUUCUGCAUUCAAAAAAUGACACAAACAUCUUCUAAUACUUGGUGAACUUACCUUAUGUAACAGUCCGUUUUUGGGUUAAAAUGGAACAGUGGUUUUGGGACCACAAAUCUGAAGUCAAAAUAUUUAUUUUAUUAUUUUAAUAAGGUCUACAUCAUGAUAGGUUAAUUACGUUAAAGUUUCGUAAAGAAAUUUUGUUGUUUAAAUGCUUAAUUCGGUAAAAAGGACUAAAUCGUGUAAAGCGCAAAAGUAGUGUUCUAUUAGUUAAAGGUAUUAAAUAGCUAUAGAACCUUAAAGUUAAGGUCCUUAUGUGGUUAUUAACCCAUUUAUAAGAUAGUGGAAGUUAGUGGCGUGGCAUUUGGAGUAGUUGUUAAAGUUUAUUAAGGUUAAAAAUGUAAAUUAUUAAUAAAGGUUAAUUAUAAUAAAACAAACAAAUUUUAGUUGCUUCCAUCUUUUUCAACUACUGAAAUUUGAAGUUGGCAGAAACCAUUUUAGGGUUUGAGGCAUUCAGAACUUUUAAGCCAAAUUGUAGGUCCAUUUUUGCUCGAUUUUUAAUGAUUUCUAUGUUUUUGUGAUCGUUACAACUUAAUCUAGCUAGCCCAUAUCUCUGAUUUCAAAACUGUUAAAGUAUUUGGAUGUUGACAUUGUUAAAUGCAUGAGUCUUUUGUUAGUUAAUGAUGGAAAAUAAGUCGUUGUUAGAUGUACAAGUUUUGUAAAGUAAAUUUUGGUAAAAAUGUUAGUUUUGGAUUAAAUUGUGAAAUAUGAAAAUUUAGUGGUUGAAUUUUAAAAUAAAUGAAAAAUAUGGAUGAUAAACUAUAAUUUAUACAUAUUUUUACUUCAUGCUUGGCAUAUUUAUGAAUGAUUUUCCUUGGUUUUAGUGAAUUCGAUGCUCCUAAACCUUUAAUUUCAUGUUUUAUACUCAGGAGAGCUUAGGUAGCAAAAAGAGCAAGAAACGGGCCAAAAAUGGACAAAUUGGGCCUAAAUCAAUGUUUCACAUGGCCUAGGCACAUCCACACAGGUAAACCACAUGCCCGUGUGAGGCACACAGGCAGGCCACAUGCCUGUGUGUCAUGGCCGUGUCAACAUUAAUCCAAGUCAGAAUUGCAUACGGUUUGAGCACUUGCACACGGGCGUGACACACGGCCGUGUUCCUGUCGAGCCCAAGUCUAGUUCUACUCGAAAAAAGCCACUUUUUAGGGUUUGAAAGCAUUCUAAAACCUAUAUAAACACCCUAGAAAAGGAUGAGGGGGACACGCGGAGUUGGAGGCAGAAUAUAUUCAAGAACAACCAUCGGAAUCACCUCAGAGCCAGGACCUACAUCAAGACUGAAGAUUUCCAUCCAAUUUCCUAGAAGUUCUUUGGGUUUCUUUAUGUUUUGUUGUUCUCCAAACUUUGAGAUGUUUUCCAUUAUUAUUAUGAACUAAAGUCCCUAAAUACCUAAAGGAGAUAAAACCUAAGACGAAUCUCAUUACUCUUUGAUUUAUAUGAUAAAUAUUUGUUCUUAUUCUCAAUUGUGAAUUUUAAUCCUUGCUUUAAUAUUCCAGGAUAUUAAUUCAGGUUUUUGAUGUGCUUAUUCAGUGGAGGAAAAGUCCCUAUUUAAGAGUAGAUCAUUCAUAAUUAAGCGGAGUUGCAUGCAAUCCUAGAGAUAGGAUGACAUAAAUCUGUCGGAUUAGAGUCAAAUCUAAUAAGGGAAUCCAUAGAUCGAGUUAAUGCGACAAUAGGGGUUUUAAUUAGAAAGAGAUUUCAAUUAAUCAACCUAGAGUCAGUUGUUUUUAGUCUCAAAAGGGAUAUUAACAUAAAUCAGGGAUUUUUACGGAAUAAGUCAAGUGAACAAAUCGUCUAAGUCAAAGGUAAUAAGUGAAGUCUAGGUGGAUUCUUCCUUCGGUAUUGUCUUUUCCAUUGGUUUUCCUAAAGUAUUUUCCAACUUUCAUCUCUGUCGUAAUCUUAGUUAAUUAGAUAAUUAGUUUAGUUUAAAAACAUUCUCUUAAAUUUUAGGCUAGAUAAUAAAAAGAUAGUAAUUACUAGUACUUUUAGUCCUCGUGAAUACGAUAUUUUCGGUCUCACCAUAACUGUACUAUUGUUCGAUAGGUGCGCUUGCAUUAAGUCAAAUUUUGUAGUUACUUUUACGACCAUCAAGUUUUUGGCGCCGUUGCUUGGGAAUAAGAUAUUAGGAAUGCUUAAUUUUUAUUACUUUAGCCAUUUUUUUAUUUUUAUUGCAAAUUACUUUUAUUUUUAAUUUUGCUUAAAUUAUUAAAUUUUCUUUUAUUUACUUCUGGCAGGUUUUUAUAGUUUAUGACUAGAAGAAACUUGUCGGGACCUCUACUUUUUGAUAGUGAGAUCGAAAGCACAGCUCGCAGAAAUCAAAGAGAAAUAAGGCAAAGCCUACGAUACAUAGAGGAAGGGCAAGAAGACGGUAUUCUAACCACAACCGAGGAGAUGGCUGAUAAUCAAAAUAGUCUGUUACCUCUUGUGGUUGCUGCAAACCCAGUAAAUCAGGAUCCUACUCCUCGUACUAUGUAUGAUUAUGCUAAACCUACUUUAACAGGAACUGAAUCGAGUAUAGUUAGACCUGCUGUCGCUGCAAAUAAUUUUGAACUGAAACCUAACACAAUUCAGAUGAUACAACAGUUUGUUCAGUUUGAUGGUUUGCAGGACGAGGAUCCAAACACUCAUUUAGCAAACUUCCUGGAAUUUUGUGACACUUUUAAGAUCAAUGGCAUUUCUAAAGAUGUCAUUCGCCUUUGGAUGUUUCCAUUCUCAUUGAGGAACAAAGCUAAAUAGUGGUUAAACUCGUUACCACGAGGGUCAAUCACAACUUGGGAACAAAUGACCGAAAAAUUUUUACUGAAAUAUUUUUCGCCGGCUAAAACAGCUAAACUAAGGAAUGAUAUUUCUUCUUUUGUGCAGAUAAAUUUAGGAACACUUUAUGAUACAUGGGAGAGAUACAAGGAUCUAUUGAAAAGGUGCCCUCACCAUGGGUUGCCCUUUUGGCUACGAGUUUACACUUUCCAUAACGGUUUGAAUCCCUCAACUAGACAGAUGAUUAACGUAGCUGCUGGUGGGACUAUUAAUAAUAAGACACCUGAAGAGGCUUAUGAGUUUAUAGAAGAGAUGUCACUGAAUAAUUAUCAAUGGCAAGUCAUGAGGACAAAGCCAACAAAAGAAGCCGGCGUUUUUAACGUCGAUUCAGUUACUAUGCUAUCUAACCAGGUAGAACUUUUGAAUAGAAAAAUUGAUGGUUUACUUGGCUCUUCAUAGGUUCAUCCAGUAAUGCAGUGCAAUGCAAAUGGAGGUGGAACGAGCAAUUUAGACUAUCUAUCCUAAGGCCCUAACAUGGAGAAUGAGCAAAUGAACUAUAUGGAUAAUAAUCCUUAACCCCAAAAUAAUCUUUAUAAUAACACUUAUAAUGCAGGUUGGAGGAACCACCCAAAUUUUCAUGGGGAGGCCAAGGAAAUCAAAGACCACCACCCCCGCCAGCUUCCAACAACAACCAUACCAGUCAGAGAAAAAAUUGAACCUUGAGGAGAUGAUGACAAAAUUUAUCUCAGUAGCAGAAACUCGUUUUCAGAAUACUGAAAUCGCACUUAAAAAUCGGCAAGCAUCAAUUCAAGGACUCGAGAAUCAAAUAGGACAGCUAGCUAAGAUGAUUUCAGAGAGACUACCAGGGAGCUUACCUAGAAAUACCAAACCCCACCCAAAGGAACAUGUAAAAGCAGCUACAUUAAGGAGUGGGAAGGUGUUAGCUGAAUUUGAAAAGAAGCUUCAACUAGAACCUGAUAGAAUGAAAGGUGAGGAAGAAGAACCCGAAAACAAUGAAAAACCUAUGUUGAGGGAAUAUAAACCACCAAUCCCAUACCCAGCAAAGUUGAAGAAAGACCGCAUGGAUGCACAAUUCGGUAAAUUUCACAAAAUUUUUAAACAAUUACAUAUUAAUUUACCUUUUGUUGAAGCUAUCUCACAGAUGCCUACAUACGCAAAAUUUUUGAAGGAGCUUUAACAAAUAAGAGGAAAUUUGAAGAAUUGUCUACGGUAGAACUAAACGAGGAAUGCUCAGCAAUACUCCAAAAUAAACUGCCAACCAUACUAAAAGAUCCAGGAAGUUUGACUAUUCCUUGCUUAAUUGGUAGUUUAAAUGUUGAAAAGGCACUAGCUAACUUAGACGCUAGCAUUAAUUUAAUGCUUUAUAAAAUGUUCAAGCAACUUGGUCUUGGGGAACCAAAACCUACUAGGAUGAGCAUCCAACUAGCUAAUAGAUCUGUUAAAUAUAUUAGGGGAAUUAUUGAGGAUGUACUCGUUAAAGUAGAUAAAUUUAUAUUCCCUGUUGGUUUUGUUGUGCUUGACAUGGAUGAGGAUGUUGAGGUACCUUUAAUUUUAGGUUGUCCAUUUUUAGCCACUACUAGGGCUGUUAUUGAUGUGGGUGAUGGUAAACUUGUACUUAGAGUGGGUGACGAAGAGAUUAUUUUUAAAAUUUAUGAUGCCAUGAAAUUUUCUAGGGAACAAGAUGAUUCUUGUUAUUUUAUUAACUCUAUUGAUCAUAUUACUCAAGAUCCUUUGCAGGAAAUCGUACAUAAGGACAUGUUGGAUCUGUGUCUUGCUCAAGGAGAAGAGGUAAAUGAUGAUGAUUCUACGAUAGGUAAAUAGAAGCUGAAAUGAAUUCCAAUGAGCCUUCAUUGAGACAGAAGAGCUAUGAGGGUAUUGAGGUAAACAAUGAAUUAAAAUUAAAGCCCUCUAUUGAAGAACCACCUAAGUUGGAAUUAAAGCAACUACCAAAUCACCUAUAAUAUGUGCUUCUUGGAGAUAAUUCCAUAUUACCAGUAAUUAUUGGUUUGAACUUACAGCCAACAGAAAAGGAAGAAUUACUUCAAGUAUUAAAGGAAUAUAAAAGAGCCAUAGCUUGGAAGAUUUCUGACAUAAGAGGGAUCAACCCUUCUUUUUACACACAUAAAAUUUUAAUGGAAGAUGAAUACAAACCCUGUGUGCAAGCUCAAAGACGUUUAAAUCCUAAUAUGAAAGAAGUCGUAAAAGCCGAGGUAAUUAAACUUCUAAAUGCCAGAAUUAUUUAUCCUAUUUUUGACAGCUCUUGGGUGAGUCCUGUGCAGGUUGUUCCUAAGAAAGGGGGCAUGACUAUUGUAGCCAAUGAGAAGAACGAAUUAAUUCCAAUGCGAAUAAUCACAGGAUGAAGAGUUUGCAUUGAUUAUAGGAAAUUGAACGAUGCCACAAGGAAAGAUCACUUUCCCUUACCAUUCAUUGAUCAGAUGUUGGAGAGGUUAUCUGGGCAUAUGUAUUAUUGCUUUCUAGAUGGACUUUCUGGUUAUUUCCAAAUCCUAAUAGCUCUUGAAGACCAAGAGAAAAUGAUGUUUACAUGUCCAUACAGUACGUUUGCUUAUCGACGAAUGCCUUUUAGAUUAUGUAAUGCUCUUGCUACUUUUCAGCGAUGCAUGUUGGCCAUCUUUGAUGAACUCGUGGAAGACAUUAUGGAGGUAUUUAUGGAUGACUUCUCGGUAUUCGGUAACUCUUUCCAUCUUUGCCUUAAAAAUUUAAAAUGAGUUUUAAUGAGAUGUGAAGAAACAAACCUUGUACUGAAUUGGGAAAAAUGUCAUUUCAUGGUUCGUGAGGGGUUUGUGUUAGGUCACAAAAUUUCUAGCAAGGGAAUCGAGGUUGAUAAAGCAAAAGUUGAAACCAUUGAGAAACUGCCUCCCCCUAAUUCAGUUAAGGCUAUUCGAAGUUUUUUAGGUCAUGAUGGAUUUUAUAGGAGAUUUAUUAAAGACUUUUCUAAAAUAGCUAAGCCUUUAACAAAUUUGCUAGAAAAAGAUGUGCCUUUCAAUUUUAGUCAGGAUUGUUUAGAAGCGUUCAAUACUCUUAAGGAUAAAUUAAUUAAUGCUCCGAUUGUAGUUGCACCUGAUUGAAAUUUACCCUUUGAAUUAAUGUGUGAUGCGAUUGAUUUUGCAGUAGGUGCGGUUCUUGGGCAGCGGAAAGACAAGCAGUUUCAACCGAUCUAUUAUACUAGUAAAACUUUGACAGCUGCUCAAGAAAAUUAUACAACGACAGAGAAAGAAUUGUUGGCUGUGGUUUUUGCAUUUGAUAAAUUUAGACCAUAUUUAAUAUUAUCUAAAGUUUUCGUUUACACUGACCAUUUAGCUCUUUGAUACCUCCUUACUAAAACAGAUACAAAACCUCGACUAAUAAGAUGGAUUUUACUGUUGCAGGAAUUCGAUUUAGAAAUUCAAGAUAGGAAAGGAGUAGAAAAUCUUAUAGCAGAUCAUCUAUCUAGAUUAGAAAACCCACAUCUCAAGGGGUUUGACGAACAGGAGAUAAACGACUCGUUCCUUGACGAACAAUUUUUUACUGUCUCUGUCUCUGAGGAACCUUGGUUUGCUGACAUUGCGAAUUACUUAGUCGCUAACAUUAUACCGAAACGGUUGACACAUCAGCAAAAGAAGCAAUUCUUCACUGAUGUGAAAAAAUAUUUUUGGGAAAAAUAUUUUCUUUUUCGUAUAUGUGCAGAUCAAGUAAUUAGAAGAUGCAUUACAAAAACAGAAGCAAUAAAAAUUUUGGAACAUUGCCACUCAGAACCAACUGGAGGACAUUACAGUGGGACUAGGAUCGCACACAAAAUACUCGAAUCAGGUUUUUACUGGCCCAUACUAUUCAAAGAUGCCAACAGGUAUGUUGAUACUUGUGAUAAAUGCCAAUGCAAAGGUAAUAUCUCUAAAUGCGAUAUAAUGGCCCAAACAUACAUGCUUUCAUGUGAGAUAUUUGAUGUAUGGUGUAUCGAUUUCAUGGGUCCAUUCCCUAGCUCGUUUGGGAAUAAAUACAUAUUAGUAGCCAUUGAUUAUAUGUCUAGGGUGGAAGCCCAAGCCUUACCUACUAAUGAUGCUAGAGUAGUGGUGAAGUUCCUAAGGAAACUUUUCUCUUGAUUUGGAGCACCUAGAUCAAUUAUCAGUGAUAGGGUACUCGUUUCUGUAAUACCCAACUUGAUAAAACCCUUAAGAAAUAUGGAGUUUACCACAGAACAACUACCCCUUACCAUCCUCAAACUAGUGGACAAGUCAAAGUUGCUAACCGAGAGAUUAAGCGGAUUCUAGAAAAGAAUGUAGAGUCAAAUAGGAAGGAUUGGGCAAAGAAACUAGAUGAUGCUUUAUGGGCCUAUAGAACCGCCUUUAAGGCUCCUAUAGGAACAUCUCUUUACAGAAUCAUUUUUGGGAAGGGUUGUCAUUUACCGUUUGGAUUAGAACAUAAAGCAUUCUGGGCUAUAAAAUUUCUGAACUUUGAUUCCAACCUCACAGGUGAAAAGAGAUUGAUGCAGCUAAACGAGUUAGAUGAAUGGUGAGUUAAUGCCUAUGAGAACUCACGAUUGUACAAGGAAGUAACGAAGCGCCGCCAUGAUGCUCGUUUAAAGCAACGCAAACAAUUCGAAGUUAGAAAUCUUGUUCUAUUAUAUAAUUCGAGGCUCAAAUUAUUUCCUGGGAGCUUAAAUCACGAUGGUCAGGUCCUUUCGUAGUCCAAACUGUAUUUCCAUAUGGCACAGUAGAGGUAAGUCACCCAUCACAAGGCACUUUCAAGGUAAAUGGACAUCGUCUCAAACUUUAUAACGGUGAGAAUUUUAAAGACGAUAGAGAGGAGCUAUGGCUCCAUGAACUCUCCUAAACAUCCCUACAGAGAAGAGUCAAGCUUAGCCUCUAAACAAGCACUUCUGAGGAGGCAACCCGAGCACUAACCCCACUAAAUAACGUAGUUGUUUUUUUUCUUUUGUUUGCUUUAUAAUCUGACUACAGGUAUUUUCGACACACACGGCCUAGCACAUGGGCGUGCCUUAGGCUGUGGGCUCCCCACGGGCAGUAAACAUGGGCGUGGCUAUGAUCAUGCUAAAAUAAGACAAACAUUUUUCCCAAGAUAGGAUGACACACGGUCUACGAUAAAUCACUACGGUCGUGCGAGGCGGCUGUAGGAUGCACAUAGUCUGUCACAUGGACAUUCUUAAGGCUGUGUGAGAACUCGCCCAAAAUCAAAAUAAAAACUGAAAUCAGAAUAGAACACGGGCUUAGGCCACGACCGUGCUUAAAGGCAGUACGCAAACCUAAUUAAGUGACACGGGCGUGUUGGAUGGACACGGUCGUGGGAGAAAUGAAGAGAGCACCAUAUGGCCAUACGAUGUGGCCGUGUGGGUGACACGGUCUUGACACACGGGCGUGUCCGAAUGCCGUGUGUGAUACUGACUUAAAACAUCAACCCAUAAGCAUGAGCCAUGAACACAUGUGUGUCAAAUAGAACACGGGCGUCGAAGAAGCGAACGAACAUGCACACGGCCGUAUAACAUGGCAGUGCGCACCACACGUCUUGGGGACACGGGUAUGUCGAAGCAGUCGUGUGCGAUCUUGACUACGAUUUCACGAUAAACACGGGAUAAGAACACACCACACGGGUGUGUGGCCCAAAACAGGGGCUUACACGACCGUUGUCCCCAAUUUCAAACUCCUGUAACCCUAAAUUCUCCUUUUCCUAUUUAAAUCUCCCUUUCACUAUUCAUCAUCUUCUCCAACCAGCUACCCUCCUUCUCCUUCUUCAUUCUUCUUUCCUUUUUUUCGAUUCCCUAUUUCUUUCCACUACUCUCCCAUUUUCCACUUUUCUUUUUCUUUUCUUUAUUUUUAUUCUUUCCCUCUCUUCCCCCUCUCCUACCACCACGCACGCAAUGCCGCGCACCAUCAUACCCCAUCAUCGACCACCACUCUCAAUUUUCUUUCUUGCAUCUUUAGCUCCGUUUUACUAUUUUAAUCUUCCAUAUUGAUGUUGAUUUUCUUAGUUCAUUGUCAAUCCUUUAUUUCAAGUUCUAUAUGACUGUAUUAUUAUUAUUACUACUACUCUUGCUUUAAUAUUUUUGAGGUUCCUUCUUUGUCAUUGGUUCAAGUAGAACUUAGGAAUAUACUAUAUAGAUAUUAGGACCAUGUGUUUUAAAUAAGAUUCAUAUUAGCUUAUAUAUUGAGUGAUUCAUUAGUUAGUUUUUAUUUCUUUGGCUCUUUGUUUCAUAUACAGUAUCACCACUUGGUUUUGACAUACUUGAAUAUUUGUUCAUAUUAUCUUACGAGCAAGAUUAUUAUUUUGGACUAUUAAGAUGAUUGCUUGAUUUGGGGAUUAUUUUGAUGAUUAAAACUCGUAUUUGCAGAUAUCAUGACAAACCUAAAAGGCAAGAAAACUGCGGUUCCUACCUCAAGGAAAUGAAAAAGAGUGACAUCUUUCUCGGGUCCCACCAUUGAGAUACAACACCCAUUCCUCAAAUUUCCAUCGGGACCCUAGGAGGAACUAUUCCAGAUCCUAUGGGCCCGACCCCUAGGCGUGGGCCGUUGCAUUGAUUAGACCGCACUAGAGUAGGUCCAUCUAGCUGGUUGGGUUCAAGCCCUCUUAGCCACCACCCCAUGGGACCGAUUCUUUAACAUCGUCGAGCCGACAUACCUAGAGCUCACAUUAGAACUAUGCUCGACAUUUUAGAUGCAAACAGUUAUGGCGGAGCAUGACAACCUAGGAACAGUCCAAUUCCGCCUUGGCAGUCUAGUACGGUAGCUGAGUGUCCCAGAAUUUGGAGCGCCUUGAGACUAUAUACGGACGAGUUCAUAGAGGCCAAAAAUUUUCCUGACCUUCACUGCCACAUCCACUAUGCACUUUCAUCAUGUUGGAACACCAUGAUGCCUACUUCAAGCAUCUAUGACCCCAACCGUUCCAAGGCAUCGGCGCUAGCUCCAGCUCUGCGAUAUCUCCACACUUUUUUGGCACACACAUUAAAAGGGAGACGAGAGAGCAUUGGUGUAGUGAACACUCACGAUGCAUACUUCCUGUGGAGCAUGCGACAGGGGCACAUUUUAGACCUCGCCUACUUCAUUGCCCUUGCCUUUUUCCAUUAAACCGAGCCACACCGGAAGGGAGUCAUCAGCCUAAGCGCAUAUAUGACUCGUCUAGCACGCUACUUUGGGCUCCUAAAUACAGUGGCAUAGUCUUCAUCGAUCACUCUCAUUGGCCAGAUGUCCCCUUACGGCAUCCAAAGUAUGCUCCAUAUGAGGAUGAUUGAGUGUCAUCAUGGGUUCAACCCUCCUUAGUACCGACUUGCACGAGCUACCGAUGAGGAUGACGCCGAGGGUGUUCCUGACGAUAACUCUGCAUUUCAGGAGGACCCACCUUCUUAGCCACCACUGAGUCACCGACCAGUUGAUGCGGUUACUUCAUUGUCUGAAGUUUCAGAUCACCUUCAUCACCUUCAUCGGUUGCUUCACCUUCAUUGUCUGAAAUUCUGGGAAUGAGUCUGGUAGUAAGAAUGUGACGUGAGAUACAACAAUGAUGUCUGAAGCUAGGGCUCCGGCUCGAGCCUAUGCCAUACGUGCACGCAAAGACACAACUUCUCCUGAUGUGAUCAUUGGUAAAUUUUCUCUCUAUGAUACUAAUGUUAUUGCUUUGAUAGACCUUGGCUCCACUCAUUCGUAUGUGUGUAUGAAAUUGGCAUCUAGUAUGAAUAUACUUGUCGAGUCUACAGAAUUUGCAAUUAAGGUGUCUAAUCCAUUAAGAAAACAUGUGAUAGUUGAUAAAGUAUGUAAGAAAUGUCCUUUGAUGGUUAAAUAUCAUUGUUUUCCAGCCGACUUGAUGUUGUUGCCGUUUGACAAAUUUGAUGUCAUACUUGGUAUGGAUUGGUUGACACUACAUGAGGCCAUAGUGAAUUGUAGAUAGAAAGUUAUGGAAUUGAAAAGUGAAAACAAUGAAAUUUUCAGGUUGAAUCAGAUGAUGCAGAUAAGUCGCCAAUGAUGAUUUCUUCAAUGAUUGCUCAGAGAUACUUGAGAAAGGGGUAUGAAGCUUAUUUAACAUAUAUAUUGAAUACAAAAGAAUCUGAAUUGAAAAUCAAAUCAGUGCCAGUUGUGUGUGAGUAUGCGGAUGUAUUUCCAGAGGAAUUGCUGGGUUUGCCUCCAGUUAGAGAAGUGGGAUUCAGUAUUGAACUAAUGCCAGGGACGACACCCAUCUCUAUUGCCCCAUAUAGAAUGACCCUGACUGAACUGAAAGAAUUGAAGUCACAGUUGCAAGAGCUGACCGACAAAGGUUUUGCGAGACCAAGUUUUUCAUCGUAGGGUGCUCUUGUACUGUUCGUGAAAAAGAAGGGCAGCUCUAUGAGAUUAUGCAUUGACUAUCGGCAAUUGAAUACAGUGACAAUAAAAAAUAAGUAUCCUCUUCGAAUGAUUGAUGACUUGUUUGAUCAGCUGAAGGGAGCGACACGGUUCUCUUAGAUAGACUUGAGGUCCGGAUACUACCAAUUACGAGUGAAAGAGUCUAAUGUGCCUAAGACUACCUUUAGAACAAGGUAUGACCACUAUGAGGUUCUUGUUAUACCAUUUUGUGUAACACCCCUUACACGUGUUUGACGUCGGAAUAGGGUACGAGGCAUUUUCGGACUUAAUUACUAAUCAUCGUAUAAAAACCGAUUCAUAAUUAAUAACAUAAUCAAGACUAUCUACAUUAAAUGACUUUAUACAAUAGAGACCUUCAAAUAACAUAGGUCAGUAUGUUAAGCCAAUUCCUAGCAACUUAAUAACAAUUAAACGAGUAUCCAUAUAUGCCAAAGACUUAAAAUACUUUAAAACCUUUAUAUAUCAAUCAAUAGUUUGAUAGUGUGAUUUAACCUCCGGCGACCUCCAACUCGAGCUAACAUCUGAGACACUAUAGGAAAAAGGCAAGGAAGGGAGUAAACAUUAUAGCUUAGUAAGUAAGUAUGUAAAUAUUAAUAAACAAUACAUUAUCAUACUUUAAACAAAGUCACAAUAUGUUCCCGGAAUAUUACCAUCACAAACACAUAUACUGUCACUAUUACAAUCAUAAACAAGUUCAAAAUAAGCUGUCUAGCAGAGUACCAGCAACUAAAUUAUUUAUUUCUGGAGCCACAGAACUUCAAAUUACAAAACGUUAAUUUUCCUUGAAACUAGAUUCACAUAUAUUCUUACCAUAAAAUUUUAAAAAUUUGUGGUCUAUCCAAUUAGUACAGUUUAUUCAUUGAAAUUACCCCUGUUUCACUACUUAACUGUUCUGACCACUCUUCACUACAAAUCAAUUUUCUCCUUGUACAGAAUUCAAAGGAUGUUCUCGUUUAUUUCUUUUGAAACAUUUCAAGAAUAUAAAUUAUAUCCCAUAAUUAUUUUUUUUAAAAUUUUUAAUGAUUUUUCCAAGUCAGAACAGGGGAUCACGAAGUCAUUCUGAACCAGUCUCUCAAAAACUUAAAUAUCUCAUAAUAUAGAAUUCCUUUGCUUGCUCUGUUUCUAUUAUAUGCAAAUAGACUCAUUAAGCUCUAAUUUGAUAUCUUAUUCAGUCUCUGAUUCAAUUUCUACUAUUUUUGGUAAAUUUUUAGAUCCACGUCACUGCAACUAUCCAGAACAGUUUUAUUGUUAAUUUUGAUCUUUCACACUCAAUUGUAUUCAUCACUUUCACAUAACAAUCUUUCCAAUUUCCAAUUUGCAAUCACAUAUCGAGCAUAUUUCUCAUAAGUUACACAUGUAUAUACUUACACUUAUCAUCAAAAAGUCAUACACAAUUUCAUUUAAUCAAUUUCCCAGUUGAACGCUUCUGAAUAAUAACAAAUAUGCAAUGGUAUCGCACACUGCCCACCUUUAAAAUUGAAGCUCUCUUGUACACAUAGUGGCCUUCACUUAGCACCACUCAUGUGACCUAGCUCGAUUGUACACAUAAUUUUGGCUAUCUUGUACAGAUGGUGAACACUUAGUACCACCCAUGUGACCUAGCCAGUUUAUCUCGUAGCUCUCUUGUCUACAUGGUGUCCUUCACCUGGAACCACCCAUGCGACCUAACUACAUAUAUCUCGUAGCUCUCUUGUCUACAUGGUGUACACAUAGUAUCACCUAUGCGACCGAGCUACAUCACAAUGUCUCGUAGCUCUCUUGUACACAUGAUGUGCACUCAACACGAUACAUGUGACCUAGCUACAUACUAUCUGUAUCAUCCAAUCUUUCUGAAGGUUCAACCGGGAUUUCUCUCUCUUUCUAAUACUUGAUUCCAUACUUCCAAUAGUCAAUUAUGAUUCAAAAAUCAGCUACAAUACAUAAAAUAUGCUGAAAUACAAAAGCAUAAUAAAGAUAAUGUAUUAUUUACAUACAAACUUAUUGUAUUAUUUACAUACAAACUUACAUACUUUCUCAUUUCCAUGUCGAAUUAAUAUUGAAUAUUUAAAUCAUCAUAAUUAUACUUACUUUCAACACCUAGGCAAUCAUAGUAAAUAUAUCAAUUUUACAUUGAAACAUGCAUAAAUUAAUGCUUAUUAUACAUAUGAACUUACCUCGAUACUAAAACGGCCAUUUUACCAACUUUCCCGAUUUUCGAUUUUUCUCCCAUUCUAGAUUCAAAUCUCGUUUUCCAGGAUCUAAAAAAUCAUAUUUUACUUAUUUAAUUAAUUAAAUAUUCAAAAAAGUCCUUAACUCAAACUUUGGAAAAAUUACAAUUUUACCCCUAAACUUUUGCAUAUUUACACUUUUGCCCCUAGGCUCAGGAAUUAAAAUUCAUCCCUUAUUCUUAUGUUUUAUGACAUGCUGAUCAUUUUUUCCUCUAUUGGCAACAUCAAAUUCUCACUCUAACACAUAGUUAUGAACAAUAACAACUUUUACCGAUUAAGCCGUUUUACUCAUUUUUGCUUAAAACCGCUUAGCAAAAGUUGUUUAACAUAAUUUCAACCUUCAUAUUCAACCAUAAAACAUCAAAAUAAACACAUUUCACCUAUGGGUAUUUUUCCAAAUAUGAACCCUAGCUUAAAUUAUUGCUAGAAUAAGCUUAAUCAAGUUACCGGGAUUCUAAAAUCGUAAAGAACUUGAAAAACAGGGCUAGAACGGACUUACUAUUGAGCUUGGAAAGUUUGAAAACCCUAGCCAUGGCUUCCCCCAUGCUAAUUUCGGCCUCCAUGAAAAAGUUGAGUCAAUUUUGGCUUUAUUUUCCCUUUUUUAUUUCUUUUAAUUACCAAAUGACUAAAAUGCCCUUAAGGCCUUUCUUUAAAAUUUUGUCCUAUUCAUGCCCAUUUUUUUCCAAACAAAAUAUAAUGGUCUAGUUUCCAUUUAAGGACCUCCUCUUUAAACCCCCAUUUCAAUCAAGUACUUAUGAAUUAGAACACAUAUUUUGCAACUUUUGCAAUUUAGUCUUAAAAGUCCAAUUAAACACUUUAUCAGUAAAAUUACUUAACGAUAUUUUUACACAAUAUUUUAAUCAAUAAAUAAAACUUAAAACUUAAUUGGAAUAAAUUUUUUGACUUCAAAUUCGUGGUUCUAAAACCAUCGUUCCGUUUAGGCCCUAAAUCGAGCUGUUACAGCAACUUCUGCAAAUAAGCCCUAAUAGGCAAAUUGAACAUGCAAUCUAUAAAAUUUCUUAUCUAUACUCUAACACAUGCAUCUAAUCACUUGGUAAAUCAUAAAAAAUUAAUUGAAAUAAACUUUUCUAUCUCAGAUUUGUGGUUUCGCAAACACUAUUCCGUUUAAGCCCUAUUUCAAGAUGUUACAUUUUGACUAACGAAUGCUCCUACCGUGUUUAUGGAUUUAAUGAACCGAAUUUUUUGACCAUAUUUAGAUAAGUUUGUUGUGGUGUUUAUCGAUGGUAUUUUGAUUUAUUCUAGAGAUGAAGCAGAGCAUGCUGAGCACUUAAGAACUAUUUUACAAACUCUGAGGGAUAAACAGUUAUAUGCCAAGUUUAGUAAAAACGAGUUUUGGCUUCGAAAGGUUGGGUUUUUAGGCCACAUUGUUUCAGGGGAUGGUAUACGAAUUGAUCCCAGUAAGAUUUCUGCUAUUGUCAAAUGGAAGCCACUGAGGAAUGUAACCGAAGUUAGGAGCUUUUUGGGUUUAGCCAGUUAUUACAGAUGGUUUGUGAAAAGCUUUUGAUGAUAGCCACCCCAAUGACGAGGUUGUUACAAAAGGAUGUUAAGUUCGAAUGGUUGGAGAAGUGCCAACAGAGUUUCGAGAAACUGAAAGCGUUGUUAACUGAGACACCAAUGUUUGUACAACCAGAAUCAGGGAAAGAAUUUGUGAUUUAUAGUUAUACAUCCUUGAAUGGACUAGGUUGUGUCCUUAUGCAAGAAAGUAAGGUAGUAGCUUAUGCUUCGAGGAAAAUGAAGCCUCAUGAGAAGAAUUAUCCUAUGCAUGAUUUAGAAUUGACCGCUAUUGUAUUUGCUUUGAAGAUUUAGCGGCAUUACCUAUUCGGGGAGAAAUGCCAUGUCUAUUCAGACCAUAAAAGUCUUAAAUAUCUGAUGACUCAAAAGUACUUGAACUUGAGGCAACGAAGAUGGCUUGAAUUGUUAAAAUAUUAUGAGCUUGUGAUAUAUUAUCACCUCGGUAAGGCAAAUGUGGUUGUUGAUGCCUUGAGUAGAAAGUCUUUAUUUGCUUUGAGAGCUAUGAACGUACGGGUAGUCCUAUUUCAUGAUGGUGCUAUUCUAGCAGAGUUAAAAGCUAGACCUACUUUACUUCAACAGAUUUGUGAUGCUCAGGAAGCUGAUAAAGAGUUACAAGUUAAGAAAGCUCAGUGUGAAUCGAACAAUGAAUCAGAUUUCCAGAAAGAUCUUGAUAGUUGUCUGAGGUUUCAUGGAAGGAUUUUUGUUCCGAAGUAUGCUGAGUUGAUUCAAAAUAUUUUGCAUGAGGCUCGUAAUGGAGGUAUGUCAGUUCACCUAGGUAGCAAAAAAAUGUACAAUGAUUUAAAGAAAAUGUAUUGGUGGAAUGGCAUGCAAAGAGAUAUAACCGAAUUUGCAUCGAGAUGCUUGAUUUGCCAAAAAGUAAAGGCCGAACACCAGGUACCUUCAGGUUUACUGUAGCCUAUCUUAGUUCCUGAAUGGAAAUAGGACAGAAUUACUAUAGACUUUGAGAUAGGCUUGCCGUUGACACCAAGAAAGAAAGAUGUUGUAUGGGUAGUGGCUGACAGAUUGACUAAGUCGACUCAUUUUAUACUAGUAUGCAUUGAUUAUUCACUUGAUAAGUUAGUUUAGUUGUAUAUUUCUUAGAUUGUGAGACUUCAUGGAGUACCUUUAUCGAUUAUUUCGGAUAGGGAUCCAAGGUUCACUUCACGAUUUUGGAAGAAGUUACAAGAAGCUUUCGGUAAAAAGCUGAAUUUUAGUACCGCUUUUCAUCCAUAGACUGAUGGACAAUCUAAGAGAGUAAUUUAGACACUUGAAGAUAUGCUUAGAUGUUGUGUUCUUGAAAUCCAUGGUAGUUGGGAAAAGUACCUACCUUUGGUUGAAUUUGCCUAUAACAAUAGCUAUCAGACGAGUUUAAAGAUGGCACCUUAUGAAGCAUUGUACGGACGAAAAUGUUGUACACCGUUGUAUUGGACUAAGCCGAAGGAGAAUAAGAUUCAUAGGAUAGAUUUGAUUAAGAAAAUCGAGGAAAAGGUGAAAGUAAUUCGUGAUUGUUUGAAAGUAGCGUCGGAUAGACAAAAUUCGUAUGCGAAUUUGAAAAGGAAAGAAAUUGAGUAUCAGGUUGGUGAUAAGGUAUUCUUGAAAGUAUCCCCAUGGAAGAAGGUUUUGAGAUUCGGCAGAAAAGGCAAGUUGAGUCCUCGUUUUAUAGGACCAUAUGAGGUUACCAAAAGGACAGGGCCUGUUGCUUACCAAUUGGCUUCGCCGAAUGAAUUAGAAAAGAUUCACGAUGUGGUUCAUGUGUCCAUGUUAUGUAGGUAUAGAUCCGACCCUUCACAUGUGAUUGUACCGACUGAAGUUGAAAUUAGACCGGACAUGACUUAUGGUGAGGAACCUGUUAAGAUCUUGGCUCGGGAAGUCCAGCAAUUGCGAAAAAAAGUAUUGCUCUUGUGAAAGUUUUAUGGCAAAGACAUGGGGUUGAAGAGGCUACAUGGGAGCUCGAGGAGGCUAUGAGGAAACAAUCCCUAAACCUUUUUAUCGAUAAGAUUUUCGGGGAUGAAUUCCUAAAGGGGAGAGUUAUAACAUCCUGAAUUAGGCCUAGUCAGAACAGUGGUUUCGAGACCACAAAUCUGAGAUAGAAAUAAUUAUUUUAUGAUUCUUAUGAGGUUUAUGUUAUGAAUGCAUGCUUGUGUGAAAGUUUCAUGAAUAAAUUUUAUGCAUAACAUUUCUAAUUGCAUUUUAGGGACCAAAUUGAAUAAAGUGUAAAACUUGCAUUCUAGAAGCUUUAAGCAAGAAAUUGCAUUAGAUAUUGAAUUAGAGGGUCCUAAUUAGCAAUUUGAGCAAUUUUUAUAAUUUUGGACAAAAAUGGACAUGCAUAGGAAAAAUGUGAAAGAAAAACCCUAAGGGCGUUUAGUCAGUUGGUAAUUAAAAUAAUAAAAAGGGAAAAUAAGUCAAAAUUGGUGUCCAUCUUUUUCCUUCAUUGCCGAAAUUUGCAAGACACCAUAGCUAGGGUUUGUUCAACAUUUUCAAGCUUGAUUGUAAGUGCACCCGUUUUAAAUGUUCUUUGCAUUUUUGAAGUCCUUGAAGCAUGAUCUACCCAUUUCUAGCUAUAUUUUGAGCUAGGGUUAAAUUUGACCCAUGUGUAACAUGCAUGUAUUUUGAUGAUUAAUGGAGGAAUAUGAAUGUUUGAUGCAUGAUAAACAUCUUUUACUAGGUGAUUUUUAGUGAAAACACUUAAACAAGAGACUUGUUUAUAAAAGUGUAAAAGAGAAUAGUAAUAACGGGAAAUAAGUGAAAAUAUGGGCUGAUAUAAGCUUAGUAAAGGCUCGGCUAGGCUUAGGUAACCAAGAGAAUGCAUGCAUUUCAUUUUACGAGUCUAGGGACCAAAGUGCAAAUAUGUGAAAGUUUAAGGGUUAAAAUGUAAAAUUUUAAAAGUAUGAUUUAUGGACCCAUUUGAAUAAUGUGAAUAAUAAAUAAGUUAAAUUUGGCAUAAUAGAUCAAGAAAAAUGUGAACCGGGACUUGAUCGAGGAAAGAAUAAAGUAUACGACGAUUAGGCUCGAUUAUCAUCACUUUGUACCGAGGUAAGUACAUAUGCAAAUAAUAUGGUGCUGUAGUAUGUUUUAAUGCUUUAAUAUAUUAUAAUAAAUGUUUUAUUGUAAUUAUGAGUUAUAUGCUAGCCGAUUGUUAUGAAAGCAUGAAUGUUAUUAUGGUCAUUAUCCACGACAUUACGAGCAAGUACGAUGGAGAUACUAUAUGCGCGUGAGGAAAAAUCCCAUUUGAACCUGAGGAAUAGUUUAGGAUACAAGUGACAUGUCACUAGGAACUAAGAAGUCCAAACUCGUUAAGUGGUCCGGGUUCGUGAGAUAUGUGGCAUCCGAGCUUGUUGAGAGGUUCGAGUUCAUAAUGGAUGCGAUUCAUGUAACAUCCAAGCUCGUUGAGAGGUCCAAGUUCAUUAUGGAUGUGUUACAUGUUAUGUGGUAGCCUCAGCUACAUUUGUAAAUGUGGCACUUAUGUGCAAGGUUUCCGCGUAUCCAAUAAUGUUCCUAUUGUUCAAUGGGUAAUGUAAUGAAUGUAAUGAGAGUCCUGAGGAGGACAUAUGAAAGUGGUAUGGUUAUAAAUACUUUACGAUGAGUACAGGUAUGUAUGCUAAACCUAUGAGUAAUACCUUAAUAAAGAUCUAUUUACGAUAAGCAAGUAUAUUUAUGCGUAUGAUGAGUAAGCAAAAAGGUUUGAAUGAUGAAUAGUCUUUAUGUAUAUGUUGCUAUGUUUCUGCAUGUUGAUUCCUUACUACCAUUUCAUAUUAUUUUUAUGUGGACUUACUAAGCUUUAAAGCUUACUCCCUUCUCUUUCCACCCUUUGUAGUUCCGCCAAGCUAGCUCGGGGAUCGGAAGCUGUCGGAGUAUUCAAUCACACUAUCAAAAGAUUAUUGCGUAUAGUGAAAUUAUUAUUUUGGGUAUGGUAUGUGUAGGAAACUUGGUCAUUUUGUGAUAUGUGUCAUGCUAUUUGGCCAAAUUAUGAACGCCUAUGAUAAUGGUAAUUCAUUUUGUAUUGGCCAUGUGAUAUGGCUCAUAUUUGAUCAUUUGAGUUGUAAUCUAGUUACCCAUGCAUGCAUGCGCUAGUGUUUUGAUGGUAGGAUAUGUUAUUGCUUGGUGAGUGCAUGAUAAUGAUGUGAUAGGUUAUUGAUCGAUGAAUGUAUGGUAAAGUACAAAUCUGGUGCUAAAGGAUAAGGGGUGACCUAAUAGCUUAAAAUGACUAUAUGCAUGAAUGCUAAAUUUGAAGUUAUGGUAACAAGUUUAAUAAUGCAUGAAAUUGGUGUGGAAUACAUUUAAAUGGUACAACAAAUGAAUGUGAAAUAGAAUGACAUUAUGAAGAUGUGAGAGUGCCAUGGAGGGGAAUAUUUGAGUGCCUAAAUAUGUCAUGUUGCAUUUUAUAAAGUAUGUUUGAAUGUAUGGGUGAUUGUGGGUGACUAUUGGCUUGGAAAAUAGCCUUUAAAUGGUCCACACGGGUACACAUAUGGGCAUGUGUCUAGACUGUGUGUCAUACAUGGUCUACCCCAUAGGCAUGUUGAAUGGCUGUGUGUCCCCUGCACCUAAAAUUUCUAAGUCAGUAUGCAUGGUAGUAAACACGCGAGUAGAGACACGACCGUGUGUCUCAACCGUGUAGAAGACACGGCCUAGUACACCAGUGUGUGCUUGGCCAUGUGCCCCUAAAUGAGCAAUGUCGUCAUAAAUAGAAUGUCCAGGUUUUUGGACACGGGCGAUGGUACGAGCGUGUCUAGGCCGUGCGAGGGACACGGGCCAGGGACAGAGAUGUGUGCUUGGCUGGGCGAAAACCCUAUAGGUUCAAAAUGAAAAAAAUAAAUUCUAGAAAUUCCACAUGGGUAUAGGACUCAGGCGUAUCCCAAUGCACACGGGCGUGUGAGGCUUAAACCUAGAAAUUUUUCUUAGAAUUUUCUUAAGUUCCUGGUUUAGUCUGGAUUGCUUUUAAUGUUUGUUUUGGACCUCGCAGGUCCAUAAUAAGGAUAAUAUGAUCUUGUUUGAUCAGUUUUAAUUUGGAAUGAAAUUUUAUGACCUGUAUUUUAUGGAGAUGCCCUGUUUAUGUAAGGUAAUGCCUUGUACCUUGUCCCGGUCUCGGGUAUGGGUAAGGGGUGUUACAAAAUCAAUUCAAAUUUAACUUAUUCAAAUCACAUUCAUUCAAAUCAAUCAAAAAACACAUAUUUAGGGUAUUUUACAAAUUAGCUCUCAUAUUUUCAUAUUUUAACACUUUAGUCCCUAUUUCACAAAAUCACAAAAUACACAAAAUUCCUUUGCACACAUGCCUAGUCAAAUCUUCAUAAUGUUCAUAUAAGCCCACAUAUUUCAUUUAUUUUACAUUUUAGUCCCUCAAUUUAUAAAUUUCACAAUUUAGCCCAUUUUACUCAAAUUUAUCAAAAAUUCAAAGACAAAACAUCUUAACCUAAUACAUAUCUUUCAUUUAUUAACAUCAAAAUUUAUAAAACUCAUAAUUUCAUCAAUGGCUCAACUCAAAAUCAUCAAAAAUUUCAGAAAUUCAAACAUGGGCUUGAUAGAACUCUAAGCAAUGAUCACAAAAACGUAAAAAUUAUAAAAAAACGGAACAAAAUUCAUACUUCUAUUGAGCUUUAACAUAGCCGAACCUUAGAUGGUUGUUUUUCUUUUAUUUUUUUUUGGUUUCUCAGUUGAGGAAGACUUACAAUGAGCUAAUUUUAGCUUUUCUUUUAUUUAAUUCAUCAUUUAUACAUAGAUUAAAAGAUUAACAUAUAAGGUUAUUAAUGCCUACUCAUACUUCUAAUGGUCAAAUAUCAACAUUAGGACCUUUCAUUUAAAAAGAUAUAGAAAAUAAACACUUUAACAAUUAGCAAGCCACUUUUACAUUUUAUGCGAUUAGGUCCUAUUAUCAAAUUAAGCACACAAACGAUAAAAUUUUCAUACGAAACUUUCACACAUGGUUAACCACAUACUGUAAAGCAGAAAAUAAUAUUUAAAUAUUUUUCUGACUCAGAUUUGUGGUCUUGAAACCACUAUUCUGACUAAGGUCUAAAUUGGGCUGUUGCAACUUUCCCCCUUAGGGAUUUUCGUCCCCGAAAAUCUUACCGUUGAACAGAUUCGGAUAUUUUUGUCUCAUAGCAUCUUCGGGCUCUCAUGUAGCCUCUUCAACACCAUGCCAAUGCUACAUCACUUUAACUAAUGAAAUUUUCUUAUUUCACAGUUCGUUAACCUCGAGAGCCAAAAUAUGGCUCGGUUCUUCUUCAUAAGUCAUAUCGGACUGAAUCCCAAUUUCGGACGGAGAAAUCACAUGCGAGGAAUCAGAUCUGUAUCGUCGAAGCAUCGAUACGUGAAACACAUUAUGAAUCUUUUCUAGCUCUGGUGGCAACAAUAAUCUAUAAGCAACCAGACCGAUAUGUUUGAUAAUCUCAUACGACCUGAUAAACCUCAAACUCGAUUUGCCUUUUCUACCAAAUCAGAGUACUUUCUUCCACGGAGAUACUUUCAGAAACACAUUGUCACCAAUCUUAAAUUCAAUGUCUUUUCGUUUCAAAUCCGCGUAAGAUUUCUGACGGUCGGAAGCCGUUUUCAAACUAUCUCGGAUCACUUUUACUUUCUGUUCAGUCUCUUUUAUCAAAUCAACCCCGUGUAUCUUAUUCUUACUAAGCUCUGACCAAUACAACGGUGUACGACAUUUUCUACCAUAUAAGGCUUCGUACGGUGCCAUUUUGAUGCUCGAUUGAAAACUAUUAUUAUAGGUGAAUUCAGUCAAUGGUAAAUACUGUUCCUAUGAACCUUCAAACUCAAGAAUGCAACAUCUUAACAUAUGCUCGAGUAUCUGAAUAAUCUGCUCAGAUUGACCAUCCGUCUGUAGGUGAAAAGCAGUGCUAAAAUGCAAUUUCGUACCUAAUGCCUCUUGUAGUUUCUUCCAAAACUGUGAUGUGAAUCUCGGAUCUCUAUCUGACACAAUAGACAAUGGCACACUAUGCAAUCUUACAAUAUCAGAAAUGUAUAAAUCAAAUAAUUUAUCAAGUGAGUAAUCAAAUCGUACCGGAAUAAAAUGAGCUGAUUUCGUCAAUCAGUCAACUACAACCCAAAUUAAAUCUUUCUUUCGCGGAGAUAGGGGCAAACCCGAAACAAAAUCUAUCGUUACUUUAUCACAUUUCUAUUCAGGAAUCCUAAUCGGCUGUAACAAACCGGAUGGCACUUGAUGUUUAGCUUUAACUUGCUGAUAGAUCAAACAUUUCACAACAAAUUCAGAGAUGUCACGCUUCAUACCAGUCCACUAAUAAAGUUGUUUCAGAUUGUUAUUCAUUUUUGUACUACCCGGAUGCACAUAUAAACAACUAUUGUGAGCUUCGUUCAAAAUCAUUUGAAUCAAUUCUGAAUUUCUCGGAACACAAAUCCGAUCUCAGAAUCUCAGACAAUCAUCUUUACUAACUCUAAAUUCUUAAUCAAAAUUUAAAUCACAUUGGGCUCGUUUUGCUAAAAUCUCAUUAUCAACCUUCUGAGCUUCAUAAAUCUACUGAAAGAACAAAGGUCUCACUUUCAAUUCAGCUAAAACCAAACCGUCACCAGAAAAAACUAAAUGAGCAUUCAUCGCACGUAAGUAAACAAUGAUUUUCGGCUCAAAGCAUCAGCAACAACAUUGGCCUUUCUUAGAUGGUAAUCAAUAACAAGCUUAUAGUCUUUUAGCAGUUCUAGCCAUCUUCUCUAACACAGAUUCAAAUCUUUUUAAGUCAUUAGAUAUUUCAAGCUUUUGUUAUAGGAAUAAACAUGACAUUUCUCACCAAAUAGAUAGUGGCUCCAAAUCUUUAAAGCAAACACAGUAGCCGACAAUUCCAGAUCGUGCAUCGGAUAGUAUUUUUCGUGUAGCUUCAACUGUCUCGAAGUAUAGGCUAUAACUUUGCCUUCUUGCAUCAAAACACAACCCAGAUCGUUCAACGAAGCAUCACUAUAGAUCAUAAAUUCUUUACCCAAUUCGGGUUGUACUAACACCGGAGCUUCAGUCAAUAGGGCUUUCAACUGAUCAAAGCUUUUCUGACACUUUUCAGACCAAUCGAAUUUCACAUCUCUCUAAAGCUGUUUCGUCAACGGAGUCGCAAUCAUCAAAAAGUAUUUUACAAAUAUCCUAUAAUAACUGGCAAGUCCCAGAAAACUGCAAACUUCAGAAACAUUUCUCGGAGGCUUCCAAUCCAGAAUAGCUAAAAUCUUCUCGGAUCAAUUCGAAUCAACUUGAAUACUUGAUGCUGACACAAUAUGGCCCAGAAAACCAACUUCGUGAAACUAGAAUUCACACUUGCUAAAAUUCGCAUACAACUGCUUAUCUUGUAAAGUCUAUAGCACUAUUCUCAGAUGUUUGGCAUGCUCAGAUUCAUUACGUGAAUAAAUCAAUAUGUCAUCAAUGAAUAAGAUAACAAAUCGACCUCAGUACGGUUUGAAAAUUCUGUUCAUUAAAUCUAUAAAUAUAGUAGGUGCAUUCGUUAAUCCGAAAGGCAUAACUAAGAACUCAUAGUGGUCGUACCUCGUUCUGAAUGCAGUUUUUGAAAUGUCUGAGUCUUUCACUCGCAACUGUAAUAGCCCAAUCUUAGAUCUAUCUUUGAAAACACGGUAGCUCCUUUCAACUAAUCAAAAAAUCAUCAAUUCGGGGAAGAGGAUAUUUGUUCUUGAUAGUUACUUUGUUCAAUUGAUGAUAAUCAAUACACAUUCUCAUCUUGCCGUCUUUUCUUUUCACAAACAUAACAGGAGCACCCCAAGGUGAAAAACUCGAUAUUUCGAAUCCUCUAUCAGUCAAUUCUUGCAACUGAGACUUUAAUUCUUGCGACUAGGUCAGAGCCAUUCUAUACGGAGCUAUCAAAAUCAGAGUAGUUCCCAGUACUAACUCAAUGCCAAAUUCAACUUCUCGAAUGAGAGGUAAUCCUGAAGGUUCUUCAGGAAACACAUUAGGGAAUUCACAGACAACAGAAACGGAUUCAAUUUUCUUUUCUGUUACUUUUGAAUCGAUCAUAUAGGCAAAAUAGGCUUCACAACCUUUUCUUACUAUACUCAGAGCUUUCAUCGAAGAUAUCACAGCUGACAACCCAUUCAAAUCACUAGAUUCAAUUCGAACUAUUUCAUCAUUCUUGCAUCUGAAAUCAAUAGUUUUCCAUUUGCAAUUCAUAAUAGCAUCAUGCAAAGUUAGCCAAUCCAUACCUAGAGUUAUAUCAAACUCAUCAAAAGGUAAUAACAUUAGAUCAGCCAAAAAACAAAUGUCUCGAAACAUUAACGGACAAUUCUUGCAGACUUUAUCAACCAAAACACAUCUACCUAGGGGGUUCGAUACUCUAAGCCUGUGUGUCUAGGACGUGUCAAAACUGUACGGGAUACUGACUUAAAAUCGUAGGGUACUCUAGGGGCACACGGCUGUGUAACAUAACGUGUGUGUGACACACGGCUGAGACACACGCAUGUGUCUCUGCCCAUGUGGACAAAAAUAGGCUAUUUGCAAAGUUGAUUUGCCACCCAUUUUGGGUCAUUCCUAAAAGCAUAAAACCAAGAACAUUUCAUACCAAUUUCCAGCCAAUUUAUACACCAAAACAUACAACAUUCAUUCCAUAUAAUAAACAACCAAAUUCAAGCUUAGAACCAUAUCAAAAUCAUGCCAAAUCAUAAUUCAAAGUAAAACCAAAAGUUAAGUUUCAUAACCUCAAUUUACCUCAUUCAAUCUUAUGCCAUAAACUUACCAAUUCUCAAAUAAAACUUACCAAAAUUGACCUUUUCAUUUGUUCAUUCAAGAGUGCAUCCAAACAUACCACUUUUGAACACAAAGCAUAUACCACAAUUCAUUCAUAAUCACAUAUAUAACCAAGCCAUAUUACAUGGCUAACUAUACACAUUACAAAACAUAUUCACAAACUUCUAGCCUAUGCAUGCAAUACUUCAAUAUAUACAUUUUCAAAAGGUACCAAAAUAUAGUUCGAUAGUGUGGUGAUGGUCCUCGAUGAUCCCCGAGCUCCCAAUAGCUUCGAUAUCUAUAAAAUAGUUGAAAACACACAAAGUAAGCUUUCAAAAGCUUAGUAAGCCAUAUACAAAUAAACUUAACAUAUAACAUCAAACUAGAUCAAUUCAUUCAUAUAACUCAAUGUAAAAUACAUUCACAUAGCCAUAUGUAUCGUAUAAUUCUUUUGAUCAUAAUACACAUAUGUAUAUAUCAUAUCUCAAUCUCAUAACAAUUCAUACUUAUCUUAUGUUCACAAAGGUACAUCUAGUUACCUUUCAUUUUCAACAUGGUAUACAAUUCAAACGUACCUGAAUCGAAUACUCAUUCACAUAGUCAUUCAUUUUCUCGGAACGCCCGUUGAACUGUUGGGAAUUAAUAAGGAUACUCGGAUAGCUCAGAAAGCUCAUACAAUGCCAAUGUCCCAGAUGUGGUCUUACAUGUGAUCAAAUAUUGAUGCUACUGUCCUAGAUAGGGUCUUACAUGAAAUCAAAUACGAUGCCAAUGUUCCAGACAUGGUCUUACAAGUAAAUCAUAAGUCAAUGCCAACAUCCCAGACGUGAUCUUACACGAAAACACAUAUCAGAUCCUAUGUCAUGACAUAUGUAUAUUAACUAUUCCUAAGGUUCGUAUGGGGCUUUUCAGACGUCGAAACACUGUCGAUGCUUUCACAAUUCCACAUAUUCAUCUUCCAUAUCAUUCAUUUCAUUUCAAUUGCAUAUAAGCAUAAAUAAAUUGAUUCAAACACAUUUAUUUGUAUAUCGACUUACCUCGUACGAAAAUUAAUGGAAACGAGUGACUAUUCAACGACUUUCAUUUUCCCCUGAUCCAAUUCUGUUUUCUUUGGUUCUUGAUCUAAAUCAAUUCAAAUUUAAUUUAUUCAAAUCAAAUUCAUUCAAAUCAAUCCAAACAAACAUAUUUAGGGUAUUUUACAAAUUAGCCCUCAUAGUUUUACAUUUUAACACUUUAGUCCCUAUUUUACAAAAUCACAAAAUACAUAAAAUUCCUUUGCACACAUGCCUAGCAGAAUCUUCAUAAUGUUCAUAUAAGCCCACAUAUUUCAUUUAUUACACAUUUUAGUCCCUCAAUUUAUAAAUUUCACAAUUUAGCCUAUUUUACUCAAAUUCAUAAAAAAAUCAAAGACAAAACAUGUUAACCUAAUACAUAUAUUUCAUUUACUAAUAUCAAACUUCAGAAAACUCAUAAUUUCAUCAAUGGCUUAACUCAAAAUCAGCAACAAUUUCAGAAAUUCAAACAUGGGCUUGAUAGAACUCUAAGCAAAGAUCACAAAAACGUAAAAAUUAUAAAAAAGGGAACAAAAUUCAUACCUCAAUUGAGCUUUAGCAUUGUCAAACCCUAGAUGGUUAUUUUUCUUUUCUUUUUCUUUGUUUUUCAGUUGAGGAAGACUCAAAAUGAGCUAAUUUUAGUAUUUCUUUUAUUUAAUUCAUCAUUUAUACAUAGAUUACCAUUAUGCCCUUAAUUAAUAAACAUUUAAAACAUUAACAUAUAAGGUUAUUAAUGUCCACUCAUACUUCUAAUGGUCAACUAUCAACAUAAGGACCUUUCAUUUAAAAAGACAUAGUAAAUAAGCACUUUAAGAAUUAGCAAGCCAUUUUUACAUUUUAUGCAACUAGGUCCUUUUAUCAAAUUAAGCACAUAAACGAUAAAAUUUUUAUACGAAACUUUCACACAUGCUUAACCACAUAAUGUAGACAUAAAAAAUAAUUUUUAAAUAUUUUUCUAACUUAAAUUUGUGGUUCCGAAACCAUUAUUCCGACUAAGGUCCAAACCAGGCUGUUACAGGUGAGGAGAUGAAAAAUUAUGGCCCCAUCCAAGAAUAGACUACCAUUGCCCACAACAACAAUAUAGGAAAUGUAGUGAAUUGAUUUAGAAAUAUGUUCUUUGUAUUGAUGACUCAACUAUUAAACCAAUUCAUGGGAAAUGAAUAACAACAACCACAACACCCUCUUCAACCACAACCUAAAGUGGUUCGCUUGACUCAGCUUGCUCCUCUUGUACAUGCUACGACUCUCUCUAAGGCUGAUCUCAUUCAAAAGAUUUGAAAAAAAGGUACCAAGGAAUUUCUUGGUGAUAAAGGGGAUGACCCUACUAUAGUUGAGUAGUGGUUGUCUCAGUUGUGUAGAGUUAUUAACGAACUAAUAUGUAACCAUGAAGAUAGUCUUUGAUUUGCCGUAUCAUUAUUGGAAGAAGAAGCCUACCAAUGGUGGGAAUCCUUGGUUAGUGUUACCCGAGAAUCAAUGAUCAAAUGAGAUUUCAUCCUAGAAAAGUUUAGAGAGAGAUAUGUCAAUUAGAUAUUUGUAGAGUAGAUGUUAGAGGACUUCUUGUAUUUGAAACAAGGAAGAAUGUAUGUUAUGGAGUAUGAGCGUGAAUUCUUCUACGUCAGUCGCUAUGCUAAAAUAUGUUUUAGAUGGAGAAAGAUAUGUGUGAUAAGUUUGAAUGAGGCCUUAAAGAAAACAUCUGAGCUUUGGUGGUAGCUUCUGAAUGUAAGUCUCUGGUAGAAAUGACAGUUAAGUCCUACAAGAUGGAAUUGAUUAUCAGGGAUAGAAUAAAAAAUUUUGAGAAAGAAAGAAUGAAAAGAGGCAAUUCAAGUUUUCCAUAUCCAUCUCGUUUUAAGAAAUCGAAGGACUACACCUUUUUAGCUUUAAAGAAAGAUUCACAGUUCACCUGUUACAAGAGUGAUUGGAUUCAACAAGGCAGUUGUGUCUAUGUCAAGUUUUGAUGGUUCUAGAAUGAUAAAAAAGUGAAUGUGACUAUUGUGGUAGAAGUUAUGGUGGUGAGUGCAGAAAGAAAUUGAGAGCUUGUUUUGGCUUUGGAUUCAGAUACCGCUUGGUUAAUGACUGCCCAUCUAAGUUUGAAUUUAGAAUUGACUAAUCAAUUAGAAGCCUUAAAAAGUUUCAAUAGGAGAAUAGACCUGAGAUGGCAGCUAAAUCUAACUCAAUACAUGAAUCAAAAAGGAAGAACUUUUGUAUGAUGAGCUUUGGUGCAUCUGCUCAAGCCUACGUGAUGAAGAUUAAGGAAGAUCCAAAUCUACUAUAGGUCAUAACUGGUAAUUUUUCUUUCCUUGGUAAUAAUAUUUAUACUUUGACCGAUCCUAGUUCUACUCAUCCUUACAUUUAUACUAAGGUUAUAGAGGGUUUUACUCUUGAGAUAGAGUAUUCUAAAAUGAAUGUGCUGGUAACAAAUCAUUUGGGUCAAAGUACUAUAGUGAAUAAGUUGAUCAAGAAUUGUCCUUUGGUUUUUGGCGAACACAUAUUUUUGGUAGACUUUUUUUUGUUGAGUUUUCAUGGGUUUGAUGCCAUUUUAGGAUUAGAUUGGUUGACUAUACAUAGUGCUAUGGUUGAUUGUCGAACUAGAAGUGUAUCCUUAGUUAAUGCUGGGGGUAAAGAGAUAUUGAUGUCUGGUAGACAAUCCGAAUUGGUGAAUAGAAUUAUUUCUACAGUGUCCGCCAGGAUUUUUAAGGGUGUAAAUGCUUUUUUGGCAUACAUUACAGAUAUGCACGAGUCUAGGAGUGAGAUCAAACAAGUACCUAUAAUGAGAGAGUUUUUGGACAUGUUCGCUGUGGAACUUCCUAGGAUGCCCUUAUAUCAUGUACACCCUACAGAAUGGCACCGUUAGAGCUUAAAAAAUUAAAUAAAAAAUUGCAAGAUCUGUUGAGUAAGGGUUUCCUUAGGCCUAGUGUGUCACCAUGGGGUGUGCCACUUUUUUUUGUUAAGAAGAAGGAUAGAUCGAUUUUCCUGUGUGUAGAUUAUUGUCAAUUGAACAAGGUUACGACAAAGAACAAGGACCUUAUUCUAAGGAUUCAAGACCUAUUUGAUUAGUUAAAUGGGGCUUCAGUUUUCUCCAAGAUUAUCCUAAGAUCAAGUUAUUGCGAGAUAAGGAUUAAAGGUGAUGAUCUGCUUAAGAUGGCUUUCUAAUUAAGGUAUGGUCACUAUGUGUUUUUGGGAAUGCCAUUUAGGCUGACUAAUCAGUAGUAUUCAUAGAAUUAAUGAACAUGAUAUUUGGGCCUUAUUUAUAUUAGUUUGUUAUGGUAUUUAUUGAUGAUAUAUUAGUGUAUUCUAAGAAUGAUAGUGAUCAUAAAGAGCAUUUGAGGAUUGUAUUGAAAACCCUACGCGAUAAUUAGAUGUAUGCAAAGUUCAAAAAAUGUGAAUUUUGGUUCAAUGAAGUUCAUUUUUUGGGGCAUGUUAUCUCGACAGAUGGUAUUAUGGUGGAUCCUAUUAAGGUUAAGACAAUUCUAGAAUGGAACUUGCCCAAGAAUGUUUUUGAAGUUCGCAACUUUCUAAGGUUAGCUUGGUACUAUAGAAGGUUUGUGAAAGGUUUUUCAAUGACAGUAUCACCUCUCACACGAUUGUUGCAAAAUAAGGAAAUUUUUUUUGGAGUGAUGAUUGUCAAAAAAACUUUGAGAAAUUGAAGACAUUUCUAACUAAAGCUCCGGUAUUAGCACAAUCAGAGCCUAGGGUAGAAUAUACAGUUUUACAGAUGCAUCUUUAAAUGGGUUAGGAUGCGUGCUUAUGCAAAGAGUAAAGAUUAUAGCUUAUGUAUCACGCCAAAUAAAACCUUAUGCAAAAAACUAUCCAACGCAUGACCUGGAAUUAGUAACAGUGGUCUUAGCAUUGAAACUAUAGAGACAUUAUUUGUAUUGAGAGAAAUGUUAUAUAUUUUUUGAUCACAAAAGUCUGAAGUACUUAAUGAAUAAAAAGGACUUGAAUUUGUGUCAAAGAAGAUGGUGAUUGUGUGAUAUUCGUAACAAAUUUUAAAGAUGUAUAAAUGAACCAUUUUUGAGACUAACUUAUUAUCACAAUUAAGGAAAGUGUACCUAUCGAACAUUAGUAUAGUUUAGCAAGACCGGAUUGUCAAACCCAAAGGAACUACGAGUACUAGUAUUUACUUCAUUUUUAUUAUCUAGCCUAAAAAUUAAGAGGUUUGGUUAUCUAAACUAAUUACUAACUAAGAAUGCAUAGAAAAAAAACUUUGGAAAAUACUUUUGGGAAAAUUCGAUUGAUUGAGACAAUACCUAAGGAAAAAUCUACCUAGACUUCACUUGUUAUUUGACUCUGAAUCAAAUGAUUUAUUCAUUUGACAUGAUCCGUAGAAAACCCUAAGUUAUAUUAUUAUCUCUCUCGAGACUGAUAACGUCUAACCCUAGGUUGAAUAAUUGAAAUCUCUUUCUAAUUAACACCCUAGAAUUGUAUUAACUCGAUCUAUGGAUUCCCAUAUUAGGUUUCACCAUAAUUCGGCAAAAUCUUGUCACCCUAUCUCUAGGCGCGUAAUCAACUCUGGUUAAUUAUGACAAAUUUACUCUUAGACAGGGUCUAUUCCUCCUCUGAAUAAGAGCUUAACUUGAAUCAAUAUCCUGGAAUAUCAAAACAAGAAUUAAGAACAGAUAAUUAAGAACAAGUCAAAUAUUUAUCAUACAAUUCAUAUAAUAAUAACAAAAUCCGUCUUAGGUUUCAUUCCCCUUAGGUAUUUAGGGGGUUUAGUUCAUACUUAUGAAAGAAAACAUCUCAAAAGCAUUAAGAUAACAAAACAUAAGAAAACCCAAAAAUUUUGAAGGAACUUGAAGGGAGAUCUUUAGUCUUGAUGAUAAAUCCGGCUUCUAAGAUGAAUCAAUCGGCUUCCCUUGAGUAAUUCCUUCCUUCCUCCUCUGCGUCCCCCCUCUAAGUGCCUCUUCAGGUGUUUAAAUAGGCUUUGGAAUGCCAAGAGCCCUCAAAAUUGGCCUUUUCUAAAUUGGACUAAACUUAGGCUCGGUAGGGACACGCCCGUGUACAAUUACUUAAGGCUGUGGUCAAGGCUGUUAAAUGGGCACGGGCGUGUGAUCCACUCGUGUAAGUCGUGCUUCAAUCCUGCCAAAGGGACACAGCCGUGGGAUACGACCGUGUGAGAAAGUCUAGGCAGUGCUGAUUUCCCACAUGGGUCCAUUUUCUCCGUUUUUGGCCCGUUUCCCGCUCUUUUUACUUUCCUAUGCUCACCUAAGUAUAAAACAUAAAAUUAAAGGAUUAGGAGCAUAGAAUUCACCAAUUCUAAGGAGAAACCAUCCACAAAUGCGCUAAGCAUGGGAUAAAAAUAUGUAUAAAUUAUGGUUUAUCAGAUGGUUAGAGAUGUUAAAAGACUAUGAAUUGACAAUUGAGUAUCAUCCAGGAAAAACCCAGUUAAUGGCACAUGCUUUGAGUAGGAAAACUGUGGUAGCUUUGCUGUCUCUUAGAGCCAAAGUAACCAUGUCUGAUAAUAGAGCCCUGAUGGUAGCAUUAGCUAUAUAACCAACCUAUCUCUCACAAAUAUUAGACGAAUAGAGGAAAUAUAUUUAUGUGAUUGUUUCAAGCAAAAAAUGAUGUCUAGCAAGGCAACAACUUUAGUGUAGGCAAGACGCCAAUCUAAGGUACAGGAACCGAAUGUUUGUACUAGUGGGAAAUGGGUAGCGUAAGGAAUUGCUAAAGGAAGCUCAGUAAAAACCUUUUUCACUGCAUCCUAGAAACAUCAAAAUGUGCAAAUAUUUGAAAGGCUCUUAUUGGUGGCCUGUCAUGAGAAGGGAAAUUACAGAGUAUCUCUCAACUUGUUUGACUUGUCAAAGAGUCAAGGUUUAACAUCAAGUUCUUUCAGGCAAACUGUAUCAUUUGGAAAUUCCAAAAUGGAAAUAGGAUAGGAUCACUAUGGAUUUUAUAUCGGGGUUACCUUUUAGUCAAAUAAAGAAGAAUUCUGUUUGGGUUGUUUUAGAUAAACUUACAAAGUUAAUAUGUUUUCUUCUAGUGAAUACUACCUAUUCUCAUGAGAAGUUAGCUGAAUUUUAUAUUGAUGAAAUAGUGUGCCUGCAUGGGAUAUCAUCUUCCAUAGUGUCUAACAGAGAUCUAAGGUUUACUUUAAGGUUUUGGAAUCACUUACAAAAAUCAUCGGGAUCUAAGUUGCAAUUUAGUAUUGCAUUUCACCCUUAAACCGAUGGCCAAUUAAAAAGAAUUAUUCAACUUUUAGAAGAUAUGUUAAGAAGUUGUGUAAUUGACUUUAGGAUAAACUGGGAAAGGUAUGUUCCAUUGGUCGAGUUCACCUACAAUAAUAAUUACCACGCCAGUUUGAAGAUGUCACCAUUCAAAGCUUUCUAUUGUAGAAGGUGUAAAAAACCUACUUGUUGGAUGGAACUUAGUGAGAAAAAGAUAGUGGGGUAGGAUUUGGUAUGCGAAACUGAAGAGAAAGUUGCUAUCGUUCGUAGUCACUUAAAAAUCUGCACAAGAUCGACAGAAAACAUAUGUAGAAUUGAAAAGGAAAGAAAUCUCCUUGAAGGUUGGAGAUAAAGUGUUUUUGAAAGUUUCUUCUUGGAAAAAGAUUAUCAGGUUUGGCCACAAAGGAAAAUUGAGUCUAAGGUUUGUAAGGCCUUAGGAGAUUUUGGAGAGAGUUGGAAUAGUGGUGUAUAAGUUAGCUUUGCCUCUUGAGUUGUCAAAAAACCACAAUGUGUUUCAUGUAUUGAUGUUAAGAAGGUAUAGAUCCAAUCAUGAUCAUGUUGUACAUAUUGAAGAACUAGAGGUUGAACUGAACCUGCCCUAUGAAGAACUUGUUUGUAUCCUGGCCAAAGAAGUAAAGGAGCAGAGAAAUAAAAGAAUUCCCUUGGUUCAAGUGUUAUGGAGGAAGCAUUGUAUUGAAGAAGCUAUUUGGGAAUGAGAAAGCCUAUUGAGAGAUCAGUGUCCUCAAUUAUUUUCAGGUAUGAAUUUCAGGGGUGAAAUUUCCUAAGUGGGGGAGAGUUGUAAUAUCUCGUCCGGUGAAGUUGGAACAAUAGAAAUGUGCAAGUGUACACAAUUGCAACAAGUGAUAAAGUGACAAGUAAAUGUCAAGUUAUUGUAACAGCCCAAUUCCGGUGAAAUUAGAGUAGUGGUUUUGGGGUCACAAAUCUGAGCCAGAAAUAAAAUUUAUUUUUAUUUUUUUAUAUGAUCCGUAUUAUAUUAGAAAUGUCAUGUGAAAAUUUUGAUAAGAAAAUUUUACCGAUUAUGUGUUUAAUUACGAGAAGGACCAAAUGACAUAAAAUGAAAAAGUUGGAUUCUAGUAGCUAGAAGGAUCAAAUAGCUAUGAAAUUCAAAUAUUAAGGUCCUUAUAUGGUAAUUAGACCAUUAAAGAAAGUAUGUAGAUAUCUUGGUAUGACUCAUUUGUGGAAAAAAUAAAAAAAAGGCUAAGGACUAACUUGGAAAGAUGAAAAGUGAUUAAAUGAAAAUUUAAUUAAAUGAAAAAGAAAACAAUUUCAUAUCAUCUUUCCAAAAUAUUUCCAUGGAAACCCUAGGAGAGAGGAAGAAGACUUAUCAAGCUUAUUUGGGUAAGUAAUUAAGGCCCAAUUUUAGUAAUUUUUAUAAUUUUGAAACCGGGAUAGUCAAAUCUAUCUAUUUGGGGGAUUAAUUUGAAAAGUUAUCAAAGUAUGAAAUUUGGGUCAUGGAUGAAUAUGCUGGAAAUAUGAAAUUUAUGGUAGAAAAUGAAAGGUUGUUGAUAGAUAAACAACUUUUACAAAGUGAUUUUUGAUAAAAACAUGAUUUAAGGACUAAAAUGUAAAAUUGUGAAAUUUGAUGAAAAAUUCUGAAUUUUUAUGAAUACAUGUGCUGUAAAUUUUGUAAUGGUAUUUUGGUUAGGCUUGAAAUAGGGAGUAAAUUGCACAAAUUUUAUUUUCCAAGCCUAGGGACGAAAUGAAAAUUUACGGAAAAGUUAGUGGCUAAAUGAUAAUUUUGUGUAGGAUAAAAUUAAGUCCACUUGAAUGUGAAAUAUGAUAAAUUGAUGUUAAAUUUACUCGUAUAGAUCCGGAUAGACCAAAUUUAGAGCUAGAACGAGGAAAGAGGAAAAUGUCGGAUUAGUAGAUUUUACGUACACGAACAUUGUCGAGGUAAGUUCGUGUAACUAAAUUAUGUGUAAUUAUAUGCUUGUAUUGAAGGUGUAUAUGUGUGAAUCAUUUGAAUGCUAUAAAUAUGGAAUUUGUUACAUGAUCAAGAAUACUUAACAAAAGUUAAGUCCCGUGAACAUAUCCGAGAAAUACCAGAUAAAUGAUAAUGCCUGACUUAAAUGAUAAAAAUGUUAUUCUUGUACUUGGUUUGAAUAUUGAAUGUAAUUAAAGGAAUUAUUGUAUAAAUAAAUAGAUGAAAUAAUUAUAUAAGCAAUUAUGUUCGAAAAAUGUUAAAUCCCAUUUGAAUAAACAAAAAUCAAUGGAUAUGUGAUUUCCAAAAUGAAUGAGGUCUUGUAUUUGUUGCGGACGGGAUUGAGCUCAAACGAGUAAUCCUACUGACCUCAUUUAUGAAAGGAUUUAGCCCAAACGGGUAAUCCUGAUAUAAGUCCUCUCGAGCAUUUGUUAUGGGUUGGAUUUAGCCCAGACGGGUAAUCCAGAUCAAGCUCUUUAGAGCAUAUGUCGUUAAAUGGGUUUAGCUUGGACUGGUAGUCUUGUUGUUUUUAUAUAUGUGACUUAAGAGUGUACUCUAUGAAAUAGUACCUUAUGGGUACCAUUGGACACGAAUUGAUGGAUUCUAAUUUGUACACCUCGAGUGUACUACCUGUAUAUCCAUCGGUAUUCUGAAUAAUUUCAAUGGGUGAAAGUUCUUGACAUGUGAAGAUAUGAAUAAGAAAUGAGUUAUUACACAUAUCGGCCUGGAACGCACAAAAAUGACGAUACGUGAUGAUUGAUUUAUGGAAAUAUGAAAUGAUGAUAUUGUACUUGGAAUUUAUUUAAUGAGUAUGUACAUCCUUGAUUAUAGACUUGUACACCUUCUGUGUACUAAUCGUGACCUUGAUAUUCUGAGUAAUAUGGGUAAAGUUUGAUACAAAAUUAUCUGAACUCGAGAUGAACUAUUAUGAAAUUAUACUUGUAAUAUAAAGAGAUGAUUUAUACAUGUUAAAUGAAUACAUGUUGUGGAAAGCAUAUGUGCAUGGAAACUUGAUUGUUGUUGAGCCCAUAUAUGUUUUGAUGUUAUUAUGGAAUAUAUGACUAACAAGGGCAAUGAGGAUAUGUGUAGGGCUUGAGGUCAAAUUGAUUGAAUAUGCCUUACAUAGUUAUCUCAAAAUAGGAUGAAUGGUAAAUUAAGUAACAUGUUAUACGAACUUACUAAGCAUUUUAUGCUUACUUGUUUUAUUUCCCUGUUUUAUAGUAAAUCGAAAGCUCGUUGGAUUGGAAUCUUGGCUGAGAUCAUUCACACUAUCCAUCGACCUAUAUCGGUGUACAUGGUAAAUCAAUUAUGGUUGUAAUGGCAUGUAUAGGAUAUAUUGGCUAUAUUGGCAUGUAAAUGUAAAUGAUGCUUGUAAUCUAGCCAUUGGAAUGGCUAGUAAUGGUUUGUUUUGAUAUACUUGUAAUGUCAAACUAUGGUAGCUACAAAUAUGUUAAGUAGUUGAUAAUAUUAUGUCUAACUUGAGGACUUAACUAAGGUAAGAUUAUAGACAUGUAUGCAUGUAAUGGUAUGCCAUAAUGAAUGAUGGAAUUUGUUUCAUUUGAAUGCUUUGAACGGUUGGUAUUCGAUGUAUGCCUCAAGUGCAGGUCAUAGGUGUGUUUUUGGGUGAGAAAUGAAGCUAGAAAUGGUUUUAUUUCGUCCACAUGGGUAGACACAUGGGCGUGUAGUUAGGCCGUGUGACCUGUAACACCCCUUACCAGUGUCCCACGUUGGGACAGGAUAAGAGGCAUUAAUGGACUUGAACAUACACUACUAUGUAAAAUUGGGCCAUAAAAUUUCAUUCAAAUUUAAAAUUUAUUCAAGAACAUGCAUAUCGUCCCUUAUAUGGGCCUACGAGGCCCAAAACAUACAUCGGGGGCGGUUCAGGACUAAACCGUGGACUUUAGAAAAAUUUUCUUAAAGUAGGGUCACACGCCCGUGUCCCCAUGCUGUAUAACUCUCUGUUUAUGACGUCAGCAUAAAUUUAGCAUAAAUUUAAAAUUACACGGCCAAGUCACACGCCCGUGUACUAGGCCAUGUAGCGAAUUUAAUUUUCGCAUUUAAGGUGCAGAUUUCACAUGGCCUAGGCACACGCCCAUGUCCUGAAGCCGUGUCCUCCACACGGCUGAGACACAUGGCCGUGUCUCUGUUUGUGUGUUUACUACCAUGCAUAUUGACUUGUAAAACUAGGGUGUAGGGGACACACGGCCGGACUACAAGCCCAUGGGGUUGACCGUGUGUCAGCCAUGACCUAGACACAUGCCCGCGUGUCUACACUUGUGGACAACUUUUAGGCUAAUUUCCAAGCCCUCUUGUCACCCUUAACAACCCCAACACACAUUUAUUUGCCAAUGGUGGUUAACAUGGCGUAAAAGGGUUACUUAGACAUCCAUAGCUUUAACUCAUGCAUGAUAAAUUCAUAUCAAUUUUAUCUAAUUGGGAUUCCUGGACUUGUUAAGUUCAUUCAAUACAUUUAUUUACAUUUAUUAAUAUAGUGACCAUUCUAAUUGACAUCAUUUAUCCAUCAAACAUAAAUUCCACAUUUUAUUAACCAUUUGGCACAUACCACAAAAGUAAUAACACAUCUUAUGCAUGUAACAAUGUUUAAGGAUUUAAACCCAAUAAUCAAUAUGAGCCAUAUUUCAUGGCCAUAUACAAAAUGGAAUAAUAUACCAAAAGGAGUCAUCACUUUGGCUAAAAAAUAUGACACAUAUAACAAAAUACUAAGUCCCUUAUACAUGCCAUACUUAAAUGUAGUAAACUAAUUAUACCCCAAAAGAUUUGUUGAUAGUGUGACUCAAGCUCCGACGUUCACGAUCCUUAAGCUAGCUUGAUGAUACUAAAAGAAAAGGGAAAGGAGAGAAGGGUAAGCACAGGGCUUAGUAAGUUGCUUGUAAAUAAAUAACAACAUAAGUCAAGAUGUUCAUGGAUUAAACAUACUAUCAAUUAUGACAACAAUAUCAUACUACACACAUGAACAUAGUCAAAAUUGACAUUAAACGCCAUUAAACAUCAAACUUAUCUUACUCCUUUCUACUCAUGCUAAAUUUCCCAUCAUGAAUCGAGUUCAAUACUCGUGAGGUUUACAUACAUACCUAUACCAUACAUUCUUACUCAUAUCACUCCAUUUCUUAACCCAACAUCUUGAAUGGCCCGUUGAACCACCUGAAUACUAAAAGACACUCGAGAUUGUCAUACACCUAUUAAAGUACCAAUGCCAUGUCCCCGACAUGGUCUUACAUGAAUCCACAUAUCAUCACCAAUGCCAUGUCCCAGACACAGUCUUACACUGGCACACAUAUCAUCUCUAAUGCCAUAUCCCAGACAUGGUCUUACACAGGCACAUAUAUCCUCACCGAUGCCAUGUCCCAAGCAUGGUCUUACACAAGCACAUAUAUCAUCACCGAUUCCAUCCCCCAUACAUGGUCUUUCACAGGCACAUUUAGCACGGUGUUACGACAUUCAAGUCUGAAGUAUUCCUUUGGGUCACCCGGGCUUCUGAGACACGAGGCUAUCGUUAAACUUCCAUUAAAUAUCACAAGUUAAUUUUAUUAAAGCAUACAUACAUGUAUCAUAUAAUGUCAAAUAUUAAAUACGUAAUAUUGGAGUUGUUGAAUUACUUACACACAACUUACCUCGGUGCAAAAUAUGGCAAAUUUGCGAUUUAGUCCACAUCCUUGCCUUUUCCUCGGCCAAGGUCUAUCCCUCAUCCCUCUUGAUCUAUAAUAGCAUAUUGAACUUAUUUAAUACACAUAUUAUUCAUUUCAGUCCAAAAAUUAUGAUAUGACAAAAUUACAAUUUUACCCCUCAUAGUUUACAAAAUUACAAUUUUGCCCCUCAUAGUUUACAAAAUUACAAAAUUGCCCCUAGGCUCGUAAAAUGAAAAGUACCAUUUUUCUUAUUAUUCAAGCCUAGCUGAAUCAUUUUCCCUCUUAUACCAACCCACAUUUUUCAUUUAUUCACACAUUUACACAGUUUCUACAAGUUUUACAAUUAGGUCCUUUUUAUCAAUUUCACUAAAAACCACCUAGUAAAAGUUGUUUAUCACACCUCAAACCUCCAUAUUCUUCCAUUAGACAUCAAAGCAUAAGCAUGUCAUUCAUGGGUAUGUUUUUGAACAUGAACCCUACCUCAAAUUAAAUGUAGAAAUAGCUAAAUCGAGGCACGAGGAUUUUAAAAAUAUAAAGAACAUUAAAAAUGAGGCUAGAAUGCACUUACUUUGAGCUUGAAAGAUGAAAGAAACCCUAGCUAUGGCUUCUUGUGAAAUUUGGCCAAGGAGGAUGAAGAUGGACACAAAUUUUGACUAUUUUUCCCUUUAAUUUUUUUAUUAACUAAUGAACCAUAAUGCCCUUCCAAUAUAACUUUGAUAUUUUAUCCCUCCUAUGUCCAUUUUUGUCCAUAAUGACAUAUAAUGGUCUAAUUGCCAAAUAAGGACUUCAAAUUUCAAAUCUCAUCACAAUUAAGCCCUUAAAUCAACUAUAACACAUUUUUCAUUUAUUGUAAUUUAGUCCUAAUAACUCAAUUGGACACUUUAUCGAUAAAAUUUCUCAUCGAUAUUUUCACACAGGCAUGCAUAUAUAUCAUGGACCUCGUAACAUCCAUAAAAUGAUUAUUUCUAUCUCGAUUUUAUGGUCUCAAAACCACUAUUUUAACUAGGCCCUAAUUUAGGAUGUUACAAUUCUCUCCCCUUAGGGAUUAUCGUCCCCAAAAAUCUUACCGGUAAACAAGUCAGGUAUUGAUUUCUCAUGGCUUCCUCAGGCUACCAUGUAGCCUCCUCUAUCCCAUGCCUAUGCCAUAACACUUUUACUAAGGUGAUAUUCUUGUUUCUCAACUGUUUGACUUCUCGAUCCAAGAUCUUGAUCGGCUCUUCACCAUAAGUCAUGUCCGGUCGAAUCUCAACUUCCAUCAACGAUAUCACAUGUGAGGGCUUCGAUCUAUAACGACGUAAUAUAGACACGUGGAAUAUGUCAUGGAUCUUUUCCAAUUUUGACAGUAAAGCCAACCGAUAAGCUACCGGUUCUAUCCUUUUGGUGAUUUCGUAAGGUCCUAUAAAACGAGGACUUAACUUGCCCUUCCUGCUAAAUCUCAGAACCUUUUUCCAUGGGGAUACUUUCAAAAAUACCUUAUCACCCACUUGAAACUCAAUUUCUUUUCUUUUCAAAUCCGCAUAAGACUUUUGUCUAUCCGAUUCCGCUUUUAAACAAUCUUUAUUACUUUCACUUUGUCCUCAGUUUUCUUAACCAGUUCAACC
Molecule: long non-coding RNA, 45105 nt
Filed under: Gossypium barbadense (sea-island cotton)
Lineage: Eukaryota; Viridiplantae; Streptophyta; Magnoliopsida; Malvales; Malvaceae
Description: long non-coding RNA (GBAR_LNC000721)
Source: RNAcentral